GCCUCCGUGCGGAGAGGUCAUGUCGCAAUGUCGGACGGUCGCGACUCCCCGUCGCAAAGCGGUCUUCGGGACCGUGUCCAUUUCUUUGAGAAAGUAUGGAGUGGACAAUCAAGUAAUGACACAGUAGAUGCUACCACUGACGUUGAUGAAAUAGAGCGACGUAUAGAGCAGCGCAAACGGCGGCCAGAGUCGCCGAAAAUCGAAGUUAAACUUAAACAUACUCGUGAUGGAGAAUCCCCUACAAAGACUUUUGAAUCUAGUUUCCCUAACUUGAAACUAAGGCAUGUGGAACCCGCUGAGGAAGUGGAGAGGAUCGAGCGCCAGGUCGAGGAGGGCGACCUGGCUGCCGGCGUCCGCUUCGUCAAGUUUGAGCGGGUCGUGAAGAGGACUGUGACUGAAACCCGGAGUGAGGACCGGGCGGAGUCACCCCAGCAUGAGUGGUACUCGGAGUACCAACAGCAGACAUGGCAAACUGCUCCCAGGAUGGAAUUCAUGAGGAGCAAAUCGGAAUAUGACUCACACAUUGCAGAAAAGCGCGAUGAACAGGAAAGAGUGCAGAAGAAGACGUUUGUCAAUUGGAUCAAUUCACAUUUAUCGAAGCGCAUACCGCCACUGCGCAUCGAUGACCUAAUAUAUGACCUUCGCGAUGGAACCAAACUAUUGGCGCUGCUCGAAGUGCUGUCCGGGGAGAAGCUGCCUAUGGAAAGAGGCCGCGUCCUGCGACGUCCGCACUUCCUAUCGAACGCGAACACCGCAUUACGUUUCCUUGCCGGCAAGCGCAUCAAGCUGGUCAACAUCAAUGCCGCUGACCUCGUCGACGGCAGGCCUGCUGUCGUGCUCGGCCUUAUCUGGACCAUCAUCCUGUACUUCCAGAUCGAGGAGAACAGCCGGGCUCUAGAAUACCUAGGCGGGUCUAGAUGUGCGUCCGUCAUGUCGCAUGAGUCGGGGGCCGCCACGCCGACUCAGCGCGCCGAGGACAAGUGGAAGCAAGGCGCCAAGAAGACCCUGCUGCAGUGGGUCGCUAAUGCUUUGCCCAAGGAUUCAAACAUCCAAGUAACAGAUUUCGGUCCAUCAUGGCGUGAUGGUAUUGCGUUCCUCGCCAUCAUCGACGCCAUUAAGGCGAACUUGAUCAACUUAGCAGAGAUGAAGAGGAAGACCAAUAGACAACGUUUAGAACACGCGUUUGAUGUCGCUGAGACCGCUCUCGGCAUCGCAAGACUGCUGGAUGCUGAAGAUGUCGACGUUGACAAGCCUGAUGAAAGGUCCAUCAUGACAUACGUAGCCCAGUUCCUGCAUAAAUAUCCUGAACCCAAGACGACAGGACCGGAUGCCGUAGCGGCAGUGCAGGAGGAGUACGAAUCUCUACGGAUGUGGCUGACGGAGCGCGUCACCACAGUCCAGAGGCAAUACGACUCGCGAACUCUCUCGCGGCACUACGAGGACUAUGUCCGCGCAGAGAACGAAAGGCUCUCUAGAGAACCCAUCUACCAGAAGCUAGAGAAACUCAUGUACACGCAGAGCCUUGUAGCCAUCGCGCCCAAGUCCUGGCGCGAACUAGUCUCCCUUUGGAUAGAAUUAGAAAGACUGCACAGAAGAUGGUUGUGGCUUUUAGACUCCGAACUCCCCGGAGACUUUAGAAAUGUCGGCGAGUGGUUAGCGAGGGCCGAAUACCUUUUAUACUUUGACGAAAUACCCACUAGCUUAGACGAGAGGACUGCUGCCAUUAUUAGCGAGAAAUUAGAGGAACACAGCGGCUUCUUCGCUGGUUUACCUGAAGUUAUCGACAGAUUCGAAGCGGCUUUAAGAUCCCCGGACGCCGCGAGGAUACCAGGUGAAAGACUCCAAGACAUGAAGGAGCGUCUAGAGACAGUAAGUCGAAGGGCGCCGCAGAGGAAGGCCAGGUUAAAGUACUUGGAGCACAAGUGUUGUAUCGUAGCCUUCACAGAGCUGACUAAAGCGAAGCUUGCCGCGUGGACCGGCAAGUACGGUCGCAUCGACCACGUCCGUGCCUUAUUAGAAGAUUAUGAUAAUUUCGUGACUAAGAAUAAGAUUUUCCAGGAGUUCGAUAGAGCUUACGUUGAUAUUAAGCAAGUAGCGGAGGAGUACAAGAGGGUGUGUGAAGUAGAUAGGACUGAAGCGAGAGAUAUUGAUACGUUCUUGAAGGACGUCGCGGAGUCUUGGAGACGCGUGGCGUCUGACGUGCGCUGCGCCAGGAGUGUGCUAGAGGAAGUCAUUGCGCAUUGGGAGCGGUGGAACACCUUAGCAGAUGACUUCACCACCUGGCUAGAUAAGGCACAGCAUAUGCUAAGAGUGUCUGAAGAUGAGAGAUUAGAGUUCUUCCAAGACUUGACGGUAUGGAAGGAGAAGCACCAACUGUUGGGUGACGCAGCCGGGUUCCUGGCUGCGACCUGCUCUGAGGAAAUCAGUCAGGAGAUCAAGAGGAAGUACGUUGAGAUCACGGAGCGUUGGGAACGCGUGUGGGAAGAAGCUGAGAGAUACGUCCGCGGCGGCGAUGCUCUACGCAACCGCCGCGAGUUGGCUGCCGGCGUCCACGCGCUGGACUCCUGGCUGUCCGCCGCCGACAACCUGCUGACCAGGCAACCCAGGGCCAACACACAGGACAUACAGGCCUAUAUCGACCAGCUGCUACAGCUUAAUUCGGAGAUUGAACACCAUGAGGAACUGUUUAAGACUAUUAGCAGAACCUUCCAAAACGCGAUCGCUGAGAUGCCCCGCGACGAGGUAGAAGCCAACAUGUCUAAGCUCAAACAGCAGAAGGAAGCUCUCGUCCGAGUGCGGGCCACAGUGCCAGUCAAGCUGCAUCAGUACCGACAGCUGUUAGUGCAGCAUGAGUCGCUGGAGAGCGGGCAGAAGGAGAUAGGAUCCUGGCUCGAUAAGGCUGAGGAGGCCUUGAGGAGUUCCGGAGAGACUAGACGCGAAGUAAUAUCAGAGCGCUACGAGGUCCACCGCACAUUCUUCUCUCGCACCACCUACUACCGCUCCAUGCUGGAGAGCAAGAACAAAGUCUUCCAGAACAUCGUCAAGUCGGCCGAUGCUGACAGGAGCGCUGAUGUUACUGAACAGGUCAAACUGAUGAGGGAUCUUAACGAGAGGUUCGCUCACGUAUCAUCGGAAGCGACCCGUCGUGAAGCCGACUUACAGCGUCUCGUCCGCGCCUGGGAAGACUUCGACGCCAAGAAACGUGCUGUUGAGGAGUGGGCUUCAAGAGCUGAGGCACUGUUGGCCGACAACAGAGUGGACUCCAAGCAGGCCGUUGACUUCCACAAGAGAUUCUUCCAGGGAGCUGAUGAGAGAGCUGUCUCGGAGCUCGUCAGGUCUGGUCGGGAGUUGAUUGAGCUGGUAUCCGAAGAAGACCGUCCAGCCAUCGUACAGACAGUAGAACAGCUACAGCAGCGCUGGCGGUCCCUGCUGGACCGGGCGCCGCCGCACCUCAUGCGGCUGGAGUUCCGCCUCGACGAGACCGUGUUCCACCACUGCAUCAAGGACAUCGACAGGGAGAUCGUGUAUGAGGAGCAGGCGUACAACCAAAGCGACGACGCCGACGGCAUUCUCAUCCGCAACGAAGAAUACUUCCGCAACCAAGGCAAGAUCAUGCAAGUGGAGCACUGUCUCCAAAACCUGCACAAAAUAGCUACCAGCUACACGCAUCAAACUAACGACAAUACUCUAGAAGAAUCCGUGAGAAAAUGCGAACAAAUGUGGGAGUCUACCGUACAAAGGGUAGAACACUUUAGACAGCAGUUGCAGAGGAUUCCGGCUAAAUGGGACGCUUAUAGGGAGAAGUUCCGUGAAAUGGAACGCUGGAUGGACCAUGUGGAUAAGACCAUGGAUAGCAUUGUAAGGGAGGUCGACUCGGCUGAGGCGUUUGAGAGGGAGAAGACUAUCUUCCAGAAUAUCUGCCGCGAAGCCGACAAGAAGCGUGAAGACAUGAAGUGGCUUGUCCAGACUCUUGACAUGCUCACUAACCACUGCUCUGAGGGAGAGGCACAAGAGGAACAAGUACGACUCGAAAACCUUAUCGCGAGGUACAAGAACCUCAUCCCUACCAUCGAGAUCACCAUGAUUAAGACUGAGACCUACACCCGAUGCUACACCUACCGCAGAGAGGUGCACGAAGUUAUUUGUGUACUCGAAAACGCUAAAGAACAAGCCAUGGUUGCCCCAGAGCCUCAGUCACUACAACACGUAGAACAGUUAGUGCUGGAACAACAAGCCGCAGUACAGAAACUCGACCGCCACCGACCCUCAGUCAUGGCAAUGCUACAAAGAGGCAAAGACCUCAUCAAGGAUGCCAACGCACCUGCCUUCGUCAGGGAGGACGUUAAGACCCUCGAGACUGGCUGGAACACAGCUUACGAAACCUCCACGGACCGUCUGCACAAACUGCGUGACACACAGAAAGUAUGGUCCAACUACGAGUAUCAGAAAGAUGAACUGCUCUCAGACCUCGACAAGUAUGAGAGUUAUGUUGUUCACCCAGGACUUGAACUCGGAGUCACCAACAUCGGCCGUGAACUCCAAGAAACGAAGACGAUUAAGACUGACAUUGAAAAGGCGAAGUCUGAAAGACUGCCUCAGUUACAGCAGGCUUACAGCCAGUUACGUACUCUGACAGCAGAUAAACCAAAACCCGUCAUUGAGAAAGAUCUGGAAACUAUUGAACGUAAGCUGGUGAGAGUACAAGAUGAAGUUGACAGCAAGGUCGUGCAUUUAGAGAAGUUCAACGAGGAAUGGGUCAAAAUUGAACACAAACUGGAACAUGUCAGAGAAUGGAUUAAGAAGGAAAGUCCGAUCUUGAUCCAACAAAUUCGUUCUGAGAACAUCACUCCUGAAGAGAGAGUGAUUAAAUCCCAGUCGCUACAGAAAGUCAUUGCUGAAAAACUCGAGACCAUUCGAGGUGUUGCUGACCAAGGAACUAAGUUGGCUGUGGAACAUCGUGUUCAAGAUGCCAACAGACUCAAAGGUGAAGUGGCUUUGUUGGAGAAAAUGAUGGCUGACCUGCAACGUUCAACUGAGCACCAGACUAAAGUGGUUGAACAUGACUUGGCAACAUACCAGAAGUAUCAGAAGGGAGUUGCUGAAAUCAAACCUUGGAUUGAAGAAGCUGAGCUGAAGUUAGGCAACGUCCCUAAACCUACGACAUUGCCUGAGGCUCAGCAACUACAGCAACAGUCUAAGGCUUUGAUUACUGACUGUGAGAAACAGCUGACGAACUUGCAGAUCUUAUCGAGUGUCAGUCACCAGCUGUCCGGUAAGACAAGUGCUCCUGAUGAAGUAGAUGCCAUCCAUUCACGAUGGGCUGUAGUACAUGACUUGGCUGACCAGUGGAACAACAAACUGGACAAACUUGUUACCAACUGGGAGAACUUCGAACGUGAAGCCGAGAAACUGGAGACUUGGAUCGAAAACGGUGAAAAACUGUUGAGUAGCAGAAACGUUUCCAUUGACUCGCCACAAGUUGAGAAGUUAGAUAGAGAGUUGAACAAACUCAAGUCGUUUGGAAACGAGAUUUCACAGCAACAAGCAAAAAUCAUCAGUCUGUCUCAGACCUGUGAUAAUAUCUGCCAUAACAUACAGCCUGAAGGCGCUACUCUACUCAAGAACAAAGUAUCGGACAUCAAGCAACGUACAAACGAUCUCGCUGAGACAGUGAGGUCUCGAGUCAACGAGCUAUCUGACAAGAUCAUUGUCAGACAGGAGUUCAUGACCAAACUACACAACUUUGACAACUGGAUUACAGACUUCAGAAGGAAGACUGAAAGCUACGAUCAAAUCGGUGCCGACAAGGUAGAACCAACGCUACAAUCUAUGCAUGUACUUUUACAAGAACACGCAGCAAAGGCUCCUGAGUUCACUGAAAUAUACAAUGAAAUCAAGAACAUGACGCUCGCUUCACACCCAGACGAAUCUCGGUCGCUAAGCGAAACUUACUCUAACAUUGCCGAACACUAUCAGAUUAUUGAGAACAACAUUCAACAAAACAAAGGAAUUCUACAGAAAUGGUCCGACCUACUCAACUGGUAUGAUGAAUCUAAGCAACAACUGAACCACAUUCAGUACCAGAUUGAAGGUCCAAAACUCACACCAGAGAGUUAUGAAAUUUUGAGACAAGAACUUGUCAAUGUUAUCACCAAAAUACCUGAAUGGAAGAGCAAUGUUGCUCUGUUAGACGGACCUUCAAAGGUCAAGGUAACUGACCAGAACACCGGCCGUAUUAUGUCUCCUACAAGUAUUGUAAAAGAGAUCGAAAAUAAGGCAGAAGCUCUGCUUAGCCAGGUGACCAACAAGAGAGACUUGGUACAGAAAGUAGGCGCUAGAUGGGACAAGUUUAAUGUACAGCACAAUGCUUUGGGAGAAGUAUUGCAUAACGUGCAAUCUGUGCUUAAUGAAAUGUCUCAGAAACCUGUGCCAUUGACUGAAGCUACCAUCCAAGAUAUGACAGAACAGCUAGACAAGUUGGACGCUGAAAUGAAAGAGAAACAGUCCAUCCGUAAGGAGCUGAGAGAAGAAGGACUUCACUUAAUGAGAGAAGAUCAGCCGAACAUGGGCACGAUACAGAAUGCUUUGUCUACUGCUGACAACAACUGGGACCAAGUUGUCAAUGCUGUUCGUGACACUAAGAACAAGUAUAUAUUACUGUCUUCUACUCUACAUGAACUGAAGAACUUCACAGUUGCUUUUGAUAGAGAAAUGAGCAGGGCUGAGCAACUGUACAAUGAAAGCAAGGAUGCGCCUAACGAUUACAUACAAACCGGACAGGCUCUGGAGAAGGCCAAGAAAUCGUAUGAGAUCCUCAAGAGAUCUAAAGGUUUACUAGACCAAAUGGAUGUCAUUAAACAGUCUGUACUCAAACAGGCAUCUACGCUGGGUGGAUUUGAUACCAGCCCUCUCGAGGAAGCAUUCUUGACAUCUCAGACACAAUGGGAGAAGGUCAACGAUGCUGUUAUCAAGAGAAUACAGGAUCUGGAAUCUCAACUCAUAGUUUGGAGACAGAUUGAUGACACUAAGAAUCAAGUCGUCACUUGGCUAAGCGAAACUGGUCAGAACUUGGCCAACGCUUGUGACAACUUAGAAAUCAGAUUCGGACAAAGCCAUCUUACGAAAUACAAGGAAGAACUGCCAAUAUACACUGGUCUUAAAAACAGCAUCAAAGCUAAAUGUGAGCAGAUCACUAAUCUAAAUAAGAGUAUUCCAGUGAGUCAAGUAUCUUCAAUCAUUGACUACUUAGACAACGAGUUUGCCGCUCUGCAGUCACUUGCUGAUAACUUAGAAAGCGCGGUAUCAUCACUUGGAACGAAGGAAACUAAACUGAAGGACCAGAUUAAACGCCUUUCCGACAACGUUAGCAAAAUCCGUGACGAUAUCAUUAAAUGCGAUGACAUGACAGGCGAUAACGCUAAGAUUCUCGAUCGUCUGAAGAAGUGCCAAGCCUGCAAAGCUGAGCUUCAGAACUUGAAUGACGAAAUUGAUAACUUGUCUCAAAAUGUUUCGGAAAUGAACGCUAACUACCCAGGCUUCUACGAAUCAUUAGUACCCAAGGAACUAAGCACUUUGCAGAAGAGAUUUGAGAGUGUCUUAGUACAUGCAAACAAAACUGAAAUCACACUUCUGACAUUCUUGCAAAAACUAUUUACUGACAAGCUUGCUAUGUUCAACAGAAAUUUGAAGAUUUUGGACGACAAGACAAGAUGGUGCAUGCCUGACGUUACUAGUGAUAAGUACAACCUCGAAGUUAAGAGUGCAGCUCUUGUAGACGUUGAAAAUGGCAUCGCUGACUGUAGAGCCAAAGUCGCAGAAUUGAAAGAAGCUCGUGACAUUCUCAAAGUUGUAGCCGAGCCCGCAUGUGCUCAAGAAGCAGCACAACAAACUGAGAAAGCACAGAAGAACCUCGAUGUUCUUAAUGCUAAUUACGAAGAAAUUAAAAACAGAUUGAAAGAGAACAUUGAAGCUUGGCAAGAAUAUGAAGCUUUGUUGGAAAACGUUUCGGAGUGGCUCAAGGAAAAAGAAAACAAGGUGAGGCAAGAAGCUGCCAAUUUACUGAGCUUGGAUGAAAUUGACGCUAAAAUUGCAGAAGUUGAGAACCUUGAUAAAGAAAUCAAGGAAUACGGCUCAGAGGUCAGCAAGCUUACAGAAAUUGGAGAAAAGAUCUUGGCUCGCAAUCCAGACUCACGUGUUUUGCAACACAUUAACCAUUUGGUAUCUAGAUAUCAAACUGUUGGCAAGUUCAUGGAGAGUCAUCUUAACAGGCUCAAGGACUUGAAAGACAACAAAGCCAAGUAUGACAAACAUAUUGCUGACUUCAAGAAUUGGCUACAGGAUGCCAACGGCAAAAUUAAGGACUUAGCAGUUAUGAGCAAACAUGCCAAACCAUCGGCAGCUGAUUUAGCUCAAGUGAAGAAACUCAAUGAGAACAAGGAUGUUGGUCAGAAACUCCUAAAUAAUGCCAUCGAAUCUGGCGAAGCUCUGUUCAGUGGUAUCACACCAGAAUGCCGUGAACAAGUAAGAAAUGAACUGAGGGCUCUCAGAGACUACUUCGAAGAUUCCGUGGAUUCACUCAACAAUGUUAUCAAGGACAUCGAAACAACAAUCAAUAAACGGUCAUCCUUCGACGACACAUUCAAUCAGGUACAAAAAUGGAUCGGCGAUAAGGAAAAGGAACUUGGUGAAUUCAAACUUUGCCCUACGUUACCUGAAAAGAAGGCACAGCUUCACGCUAACAAAAUCUUGCACCAAGAGGUUGAAUUACAUCAAUCAAUGCUCACACAAUUGACUGAGAAGAUCAAGCUAAUGCCUGAUGAGGAAGCUGAAAAGAGCUUGUCUAAAACUAUUGACAGGUACAGAGAUAUGUCUAAAGAGCUUGAAAAGAGAAUCUCGACCUGUGAAGCUCACGUUGCUGACCAUGAAAAAUACGUUAACAUGUUCGAAGAUGUCCGUGACAGACUUAACCACAUUGUUGCUGAAAACAGCAUGUUGAACUACGGUUCUGUUACUCAGAAAGAUGAUGUAGAUGCUAAGAUUGCCGCUAUCGAGAAAGUAACGAUAAAGGCUAAAGACAUUCAGAAUAACUUGGCUGGCCUUAAGUCACAACUUGAAACGGUCAUUGAGACAACCAGUCCUAAUGGACACCCGGUACUCAUCAGCGAGUAUGAACAGCUCAAAGCAAUAUGGGACCAAUUAUCUACACAAUGUAAGGAACAGGACAAGAAACUCAAGGAUACUCUUAAGCAAUGGACCGAAAGUCAGAAGACGUUGGAUGAACUCGAAGAAUGGCUAAAGGUCAAAGAAAACCAAGUCAGGGACCAAAGCCUUAAGAGUAAUCUGGAAGCUAAGAUUGCUCAUCUACAAAAAGUGAAGGAGAUUCAGAAUGAGCUUGCUGCAAGAAGCGCUGAUUUUGCUGCACUCACUGACACCAAACAGAAUGUAGCUACUGAAUCUGAACUGACCAAUAAGACAUCUAAAUUGGCAACAAGAUACCACACGCUCAAUAAUCUUGUUAACGAAAUCAUUUCCAAGUACGAAGUAUUCGUAUCCGAGCACCAGACAUUCGAAAACGAGUACAGCAAUAUGGAGAACUGGCUCAUGGGAAUGCUCGGUGAGCUUCAAGAUCUCAACGAAAUCGUUGGAGACUAUGCAGUCUUACAAGAGAAACAAAACAAAGCCAAGGAACUGUAUGAGACCAGAAACAAAAAGACUCCCGCUUUUGAAGAAUUCUUGAGCCUCGGUGAAAAGCUGUAUACACACACCAGCCCUGACGGCAGAGAAGUUAUUCGUCAAAAGAUCCGCAAAAUAAGAACACUGUGGGACAGCUUUGGCGACAGCUUCCAGGAAACUGUGAACAAAUUAGACCAAUGUCUACUACAGUUCUCAGACUUCAGUCUUGCUCAAGAGCAGCUGACAAAGUGGCUUAAGGACGUUGAAAGAGCCAUGCAACGACACACCGAGCUUAAAGCCUCUCUUGAAGAGAAGAAGGCGCAGUUGCAGAACCACAAGAUUAUGCAUCAAGAGAUUAUGACUCACCAACAACUGGUAGAAUCUGUCUGUGACAAAGCCCAGCAAUUAGUUGACCAGACCCAUGACGCUUCUCUCAAUGUUUACCUGCAAUCGAUCAAACAACUGUUCCAAAACAUAGUUACUAAGUCUCAAAACCUUCAAGACAAUUUGGAGGACUGUGUGAAGAGACACGAAGAUCUUGUUCGUCUUAUUCAACAGUACAAAGAAUGGCUUGGUUCACAGUCUGAGAAGCUCCUAGACAUUGAAAAUGCAACUGGUGAGAAACCUGAGAUCAUCAGGAAACUGCAAUCAGCCAUCGCUCUGAAAGACAUUGAAAAAGUAGGCUCCGCGAAACUGGACGAAAUUAGAGCAGUGUUCGCAAAUGUUAGCAAGAGCACGUCUGAAGCCGGUAACACCGCUAUCAAGGCUGAGAUUGAUAACCUGCACGAUCAGCUGCGUAAUGCUGUAGAAAAUAUUUCCAGCUCAGAACAGAAACUCAAGCAUACUCUGGAGAUUUGGAACAAGUUCGAUUCAUCAAUAGAAUCUAUUACAGAAUGGCUAAAAGAUAUGGAAUCAAAAUGCCGCGACCAGAGCCUUUGCUCCACUCUUCAAGACAAAGAAGCACAGUUACAAAGAUAUGUUGACUUGCGCAAUAACAUCAACGCUAAGGAAAAGGAAAUCGAUGCCUUCGUCGAUGAAUCUCACAGUCUUAUCCAACUGAGUGGUACUGAACGACUCAAGCCUCUUGUAACUCAAGUGAGCAGUCGUUAUCAACAGCUACACCUUAUCUCCAAGGAAAUUGUUAACCACUGGUCUGAAUUAGUCGCUGACCACAGGAAGUACGCUCAGCUCCGUAGUGAAUUCGAUGCUUGGCUGAAACCAUUAGAAGAACAGCUAUUACAAAUGGUUACUAAAGAAGACAAGCUAAGCAUUGAAAGCAAGGGCAACAAACUACAAGUGUUCUUGAUGGAGAGGGAAAAUGGUGAACAUAAGAUCAGCAUACUUACAACUGCCGGCGACAAAGUUCUACCCGAGACUGCUGCUAACGGCAGAGAGAACAUUCGUGCGGAAAUAAGAGCUCUCAGAGAAAGGUGGGACAAGCUCAACGACACAAUCCUUCAACAACAAAAAGAAUUCGAAUCUCAAACACUGCAGUGGUCAAGUUACCAAGAUGUACUGCAGCAGACUUUGGCUUGGUUAGAUGAGAAAGAGAAGAUUGUCGAUGCGGAAGAAAAGGCCGUACUCAACUCUGCUCAAGAAAUCAAGUCUAAACUGUUGAAGAACAAGACUUUACUUCAAGAAAUCUAUUCACACAAGCGAGUAAUAGAGACAGUCACUGAAAAAGCAAAGAGUGUAUCUGCUACUCUUCACUCAGGAAAGGGAGAGAGCGAUGAAAUGACUGCUAUCAUCAAAUCAGUGUGGGAUCGAUACAACGCUCUUACAAACAGGUUGACUGGUAUCAUUGACAAACAUGAGAGCACGUUUGACAUUUAUCAACAGUUUGCUGAUCAACAGAAAUCACUGCAGGAUUACCAAAAGCACCUUUGGGAUCGUCUUCAUUUGUUAUCCGACUUCAGCGGCAACAAAGCUGCAUUGCAGAGCAAAUUGGCUAAGAUUCAAGAGCUGUUAGAUGCCAUCCCAACUGGAAACAACAAGUUGAAGAUGUUGUCUGACCUUAUCGAGAAGAACAAUGCCAGACUGUCUCCUAGAGGUAAAGAUGGUAUGUCUCGCGAAUUGAGUCUGCUCCGAGCUGAUUUGGAGAAGUUCACCGCAACGGUUCAUGACGUUAAACGUGGCAUUGAAGACAAGAUACAGCAAUGGAUCGAGUUUGACAGUGCCAACGACCGCCUGCAACACUGGCUGAGCGACACCGAGAUGAGCCUCAAGACCUACACUCCUAAGGCAACCCUUGAGGAGAAGGUGGAUCAACUCAACAAAUACCAGGAUUUAUGUAAAGCGAUUGAUUAUCACGAAAAUGAUUUGAGUGCAGUCAUUACUUUGGGCGAGGCCUUGGAUCAAGCUAUCUUGGCUAACCUGAAGAAGACUGAAAAUGACGUCGACAAAUUGACUGACGAGUUCAGUGACCUUAUCGAGAACUGUAACGAUACUAGAAUCACAAUGAACUUGCAACAGAUGACGUCACGAUUCCAAUCGGUACAGUCGACUGCAAAGGAGCUUGUUAAAAAAUGCGAACAAGCCGUGAAUGACCAUAAUGCCUAUCAAGAGAAGUACAACCAGUGCACUGACUGGUUGAAGGCAGCGCAACACAAAUUCGACGAAUGCAAAGAAAACUUGUCGAACACUCCCGAGGGCAUCAGCGCUAAACGAGAGAGCCUUAACGACUUGCUGAGUCAAAGGCGCAACGCUACUCUGCUUGUCAACAACACUUUCGAAUUGGGAGAGAAACUGUAUCCUUCCACAUCACCCGAAGGUAAAGAAAUUGUUGAGCAACAGCUUCACGAAAUCCAACAAGCUAUUGACAACUUGUACGACAACAUCACGAAGGCUGAGAGAGACCUUGACUCAGAACUCAAUAAAUGGUCAUCAUUCGAAGAUAACCUUAAGACCGUACAGCAAUGGCUGACAUCUGCUGAGAAGACUCUGCCUAAAGAGAUUGAACUGAAGGCUACUUUGGAUGAAAAGCGCAAUCAACUCAAUGUCUACAGGACUUUCUUACAAGAUGCCAUCACCCAUCAACAAGAUAUUGCUGAUUUGGAAUCCCGUGCUCAAAGCCUGCCUGAUGUUAGCAAAGAUAUUGCCAAGGAAAUUAACCAACUAAAACAGAGGCAUGAAACUAUUCUUGCUAGAGCUAAAUCCUUUGUGGAGCAAUAUGAAGCGAUUGUUAACAACCACCAACAGUACACCAAGGCUGUCAAGGACUUGGAAGAAUGGGUUGAGGCCACACAUAACACGGCUCAACUGUGGGGUGAUGUCAACCUUGAACGCGUCGCGCUCAGCAGCAACUGUGAAAAACUCAAGUCUCUUCAACUUAACCUGCCUGAAGAAAAGUACCGUAUUGACAAGAUUCGUUCUCUUGGUGAAAAGGUACUGCCAGGAACUAUUAGCACUGGACAAGCAAAUAUCAGAAACCAGAUCGAUGCAUCCCACCAAGAAUGGGAAGGCCUCGUGUCGUUUAUUAACAAGACCAUCGAAGCUAUGGAGAAUAAGAUCCAACAAUGGAACGAAUACGAGAACAUGAAGGACCAGUGCUUGGCCUGGAUCAGGAAUACAGACAACCAGAUCCAUGCCGUUGACUUGAAGGCUACUUUGCCAGAAAAACAAGAACAAUUCAAGAAGUUCCAGGAAUUACAAGGUGAAGUUCGUGCUAAGGAGCUUGAGAUUGACAACAUUACCGAGAAAGCUCAACACCUACACACUGGCGUUUUCGGACCACGUGCUUCACAGAUAUCAGAUCUGUCUGUUAAAUACCAAACUCUUUCACAAAAGGUUAAAGAUUUGACGAACAGAUGGCAACAGUACGUCAAGACCCACCAAGAGUUUGCCAGCAACGUCACUGAAUGCUCACAAUGGAUCGAAGAGCUCAGAGACAAACUGGACUUCUGUGCAGAUUUGAGCUCUUGCUCUCAAGAUGACCUGGAAACCAAAUUGGUAUUGAUUCAAAACUUGUUGCUAACAAAGGAUGAAGGUUUUACCAAAGUCCAGUCGCUUGUUGAAUUGGCCCAAAACGUUAUGGCCAAUACUGCUCCAGCUGGUCACGAAGCAAUCAACAACUCAUUGGUUGCUCUACAAGAACAAUGGUCGGCAUUGUUGUCCAGAAUGAUCGAAACCAAGAAUAUGCUGGAUGACUCAGUCACCAAGUGGGCUGGAUUCCUUGAACAGAUACAGCUCAUUGAGAAGAGCAACACAUACCUUGAGAACAUGUUAGUUGAACUUACUCCUUAUGAGGCAUCCAUGACCGACAAGAGGGCUCAGCUUGAAAAGCUCAAGGAAGUUGAGGAGAAGGCUCGUUGCGAUCGUCUUGAAGUAGACACGCUAAAGGCUAAAGCAGCUGAAAUGAUUGCUAGUGGCCAACAAAAUCAGGCCGCAUCGAAAGCCCAAGAAACAUUAAGCAAAUUCGAUAACCUGUAUGACAAGAUUAAGAAACUUCUUGCCGACCGCGAAGAGCAAUACAAAGAUCACAGACUGUACAAAGAAGCUCAUGAUGAGCUUAUACAGUGGUUAAGCAGAGCAAGAGAAAAGGUACCUUCUCUUAAAUCUAAACCAUUGAGUGACAAAUUGGCAAUUGAAAAUUCUGUAGCACCUCUGGACGCCUUGAUCAACAAACAGGCUCAAGGAGAGCUAUUGUUAGAACAUCUGCAACACACUGGUGAAGUUGUCCUAGCUAGCACAUCGCCUGAAGGCCAGACAGUCAUCAAGAACGAAAUGAAGGCUUUGAAGGAAAGCUUUGACGAUCUGUUCAACGAGAUCAAACAACAGAAGAGCCAACUGGAGGAUACAGUUAACCAGUGGCGAGAAUACAAAGACGAGUACGAGAGAUUGUCUGAUUGGUUACAGCAAAAGGAAAUUCUUAUCAAGAAUCAGAAAUUGGCACUGCUUGGAACAGCUAAGGAAAAGGGUGCUCAAGUCAACGAAGUUAAGGAAAUAGUUGACCAGCUGAACAAAGGCAAAGCUGACAUCGAUAAGUUCAAUGCCUCAGCUUCUGGUCUUCUGGCUUCACACUUAGACACGUAUGUCAACAACCAGUUGCGUCAUCUCAACUCUAGGUACCAGGUUCUUGUGAACAUGGCCAAUGAUGUACUCAAGAAGGUUGAAACCAAUUACGAACAGCAUCAGACCUACGAUGAUAAUUACGCAAAGACCAAGAAAUGGAUCGAUGACGCUUGGGAGAUCACUCGCAGUGGCAGUGACGCUGGUAGUAACAGCAGCAAGGAAGCCCUGCAGAAGCGUCUAGAACAAAUCGAGGACUUGCUUAAACGUCGUGAGGAAGGCCAAAACCUUGUUCACGCAACGGUUAACAGCGGAGAAAAGGUCCUCAGAAACACGAGGUCUGAUGGCAAGGACAAGAUUAACACCGAACUUAAGGAACUACAAAAUGAGUGGGACCGCUUGGUCAAGAAGAUGAGCACGGCCAAGGUUCAUCUCGAAACAGCCUUACUCCAAUGGGCUGACUACAGCUCAAGUUAUUCACAGCUCCAGCAAUGGAUAUCCGACAGAGAAGCAAAACUCCAAGAAGUGUGUGAACAAAAAGUUGCCAAAUCCAAGAAGGGGCAAGACCGCCUCGCCGGACUCACGGCCGGUCUUAGCCUGCCUGAGAGGAAGGCCACACUCCGUCAAACAAACAAUAUUGUGCAAGAUAUCGUUUCGUUUGAACCCAUGAUUCAGUCUGUAACUUCUAAGGCUUCAGAACUUAUGCAACAAGCUCCGGCGUCUGAGAUCACCAGCAAAUACGAGACUCUGUCUAAACAGGCCAAAGACUUGUAUGAGAGACAGAGAGAGACUGUGGAACAACAUCAAGCGUUUAUCGAUGCUGGCUCAGACUUCGUCCAAUGGAUUAGAGCUGCUAAAGAGAGAUUAGGAAAGUGCUCUGAUGCAACCGGAGAUAAGGAAUCGUUGAGUAGUAAGAUUUCUCAACUUAAAGUAUUGGAAAGCGAGCUGCCCGAAGGUCAAGCGAAGCUGCAGAAGGCUCUGGAACAGGGUGAGAUAUCUUGCGGCUUGGCUGAUCAUGAAGACAGAGAAGAAAUUGAAGAAGAAGUAGCUCUUAUGCAGGAAGAGUACGAUACCUAUGUUGAACAGCUAAACAACACCAAAGCUCUGAUCGAAGGCGGUAUCGUCAAGUGGACAGAAUACGAAGAGCAGUACAAGGAAGCCUUAGAUUGGUUGUCAAAGACUGAGAAAUUAGUGCAAUCCUUUAACAAGCUGCAGAAUAACUUGGAACAGAAAAAGGUUGUUCUGGAAGAGUUCCAGGGUCACCUCCAAAUGCUAUUCGACUGGCAAGCAGAGCUGGACAAGCUGAAUGUGCGAGCACAAACACUGCUGGAGACCUGCGCCGACACCAGGAUCUCUAACGGCAUCACACAGCUGACCACUAAGUACAACGCUCUGCUGUCGCUGGCUAAGGAGGUCAUGAAGAGGCUGGAACUACAUUACCAGGAACACCAACAACACAAUGCGCUGUACGGCGAAUGCCAAGACUGGCUCGACAGAACAAGAGAGAAACUCAACCAAUGUGCUGAAAUACCGAACAACUUACCCGAAGUUAACAGCAAACUUAACACUGUGAAAUUGCUACGUCAAUCCUUGGAGCAAGGUCAGAACAAACUGAGGUACCUUCUAGAACUUAAAGAGAAGGUGAUUAUGAACACAGAACAGGCUGGAGCCGCGAAGAUUCAGGAGGACACUGAUAAUCUGAAGCAAGAGUUUGAUAAGCUGAUCGCGGACUUGCAAGAUGUCAGGAAUAAGCUGACCAAUAGAGCGGCGCAGUUCGAUGAUAUUUCUAAGAUCCACAAGCUCCUAGUAGAAUGGUUAGACGACAUCGACCAGAAGAUCCAGUCAGACGACUCUCUUCUCCAAGAUCUAUCAGAGAAGAAGGCUAAGCUAGAGAAGUUCAAGACCUUCAACAGGGAUAUUGACUCCCACAACGAUUUGGUCAAGCGAUUAAAUGAGAAGCUGAAAGAAGAUGCGUCUCUCAAAUCUAAAGGUAUUGAGGAUACGCUGAAGAGGUACGAUGAUAUCAGGAAGACGGUCAAUGAGAUGAUUGCGAAACUGGAAGAAUACGUAAACUCGCACAUCCAAUACAAAGAAUCGUACGACAACUUCUACGACUGGAUUAGAAACUGCAAGAUCGAGAUCCAACAGUGUUCCGACUCCCAUGGCGAGAAGGACUCUGUGCAAAAGAAACUUCAGAAGGUCAAUAAGAUCAUCGAAUCUUUACCUAAAGGUGAAGCCUUACUUAAGAAAGCUAUUAGCCUCAGCAAUGCUGUCCUAGAAACUACAGGAAACGAAGGCAAAGAUAACAUCAAUCAAGAAAUUAAACAGCUGAAGAUCGAAUGGGAGAACCUUCAACAGAUAUGCAAGGAUACCAAGAAGUUACUUGAGAAAUGUCUGUCGGCCUGGUCUGAUUACUUGGAGACAUCGGAGAAGAUGAGCAAGUGGGUGAAGGAGUUUGAUAACAAGUUGAAGACUGUGCAAAAGGUGGACAAGAUCACACCUGAACAUCUUGAUAAGUGUCGCGAACUUCUAUCUGAGGCAUUAGGACACAAACAUGUCUUAGAAGAACUGAACGACAGGUGUGAAAACCUCAUGGAACAGAGCGCAUGCGCCUGGGUCCGCGACAAGACAGUCAAUUUGCAAACCGAAUACACAACCUUACUAACUAAGAUCCAAGGUCUAGUUUCCAAUGGCGAGAAAAACUUGUCAGACCACACUGAGUUCAUCAAGGCUAAAGAAGACCUACAGCAAUGGUUAGAGACUGCUCAUGGCACUGUCCAAGAUUCCAUUGGAGUUGGUGAUAUUGAAACCACUAAAGAUAAACUAGAGACAGUUAAACUGGUUAACAACAGAAUGACUGAAGGUCAUCACUUACUAGUUGUCUUACAAGAAGCAUUCAAGAAAGCUCUUAACAACACUCCUCCUGAAGAACAAGAUGGUCUCCGCAAUGACGUCAAAGUAUUGCAGGAGAGCUGGGACCAACUGAAGAUAGACCUCAACUCUAUCACAGCUCAGCUCAAGGCCGCUAUCGGCAAAUGGGAGGACUUCGAAGAGUCCAAGAAGAAGAUGGACCAAUGGAUCAAGGAGACAGAACAGAACUUAGACAAGGUCCCACCAACAGGCGGAGAAUUGGGAGAGAUGAAGACUCUUCUCGAAAAAUACAAGCAUAUUGAAGAUGAAAUUGACAACAAGAAGCCUGAAUUAGACAGAUUAAAGAGCGAAGCCGCUGAACUCAGCUCUUGGGCUAAGAAGCCUGCUAUCAAAGAAUCAGUCACAGAGAUCGAGAAGAAAUGCAAGGCUCUCCGCGCUAAAUGCGCAGCCAAGAGAGCUGAACUCGAAUCUGAGAUCAAGGAUUAUAACAACUACCAUCAAUCGUUACAAGAUACCGAGAAAUGGCUGUUACAGAUCUCCUUCCAGCUCAUGGCCCACAAUUCCUUGUACAUUGCUAACAGGGAACAGACUGAGGAGCAACUAGCCCAACAUGCAGUACUUCUCGACGACAUACAGAAGUACAGGUCUACAUUAGACGAGCUUGAAGGGAAAGGACAAGCUCAGAUUGAACGUUACGAAGCCACAACUCCAUCUAUUCGUGAGACUGUUGGAAAACAACUGAAGAAUGUGAACGACAGUCAUAAAUCUUUGCUAGCAACUGCCCUACAGAUUGAGCGUCGUUUGAGGGAAGGACUCGCGAAGUUCAAGGAGUAUGAAGACACGCUGGAGAGCAUCCUGAACAACUUGGAUGAAAUGGAGCCGGCGAUCACGGAACUCGAUGUGCCGGUUGAUGGACUGUCUCAUGGACGCGAACUCCUGGAUAAAGCUAGGGGUCUCCACAACCGCCUACAAACCGAAAAGAGCCGUUUAUCAGCCGCCGUGGCAGCCUGCUCAGCCGCCGCCGCGUCCGUCUCCCGGCCUUCAUCUCCUGCCGACACGGCGCCGCUGCCCAUCCCACCGCGGGAGCUGCACGUCAGGGCCCGGCUCGAGGACCUCAUAGACCAGAAACAUGUGAGCGAAGUAGGAAGCGCGCCACGCAUUGAACUCAUACUUAAGUCCCUUGAGGCACCCGAGUUUGGGCAAAAGCUUUCGACUUUCGAAACUAAGGUACAAAGUCACUUGGAGGAAUUAGGAGACGCCGUCCAUGGCAUGGAAGAAGCUAUGAAGCAAGUUCUAGAGAUCCAAGAAUGGAUAGCGGUCCACACUGCAUUAGCCCGUGACUGGCUCGCCAACCCAUCCAAGUUGAGGCCGGAGGCUGCUAAGCAGGAUAUGGCAGCGAUGAACGAUGCCCUCGCUUCGCUUAGUGAGAAGAGGAACAGGCUGCUUACUGAGAUUCCUACUGAAGGACUUGAAGACGAAAUUAAUCUAGAAGAAGAACUAGACAACUUAGAACAAGCAAUCCUCAAGGCGAUUGAGAGAGAAAAGGGCAACCAAGCCAUCAUCGACGCCUUCCGUAACAAAUGCCAAGAGAUUCACGACUGGUUCGACUCCACACUCAAGAAGAUGUGCUUAGCUGACAAGGGCUCUGGUCUCCCAUGUCCUCAGAAGCUCAGCGCACUCAAGGAACUGUCUUCUGAAUUUGGACAGGCUGGCAAAGACAAGGUUGAUAGCAUCAAGUCUGUUGGAUCCCAAGUUAUCAACAUCGUCAGCAAUUUGGAGUCUCAACAAGUGGAGGAACAAAUGAAAUCAGUCGAGCGAAGAUACAAUGACAUUGCUAAACGCAUUCAACGCAAACUUCAAAUGCUUGAAAUUACCUACAAGGCGAUCGAUGGUACCAAGAGUGAGGUCAACGCCCAGAACGAAUGGAUGCAAAAGGAAAUUGACAACAUCCUUCACCCCGAACCUCUUGGUUAUGAGAGCAAAUCCGUCAAGGAACGCCAGAAGAAGGUAGCCAAUCUUCUCAAAGAAACUGACGGUAAGAAGACAGUCAUUGAUUCCUUGGAGAAGAAGGUAAGCAACAUCCAGGCUGAAUUAGAACCUUCUGAACAGAUGCAAUUAGAAUCAGAAUUGUCUGAACUUUCCUCGAAACAAAAGCAAUUGGCCUCCCUUAUCAAACAAGAGAUUGAAAGGUUAGGCACUUGCGCUGAAGACAGAAAGAAACUCGAGAAUGAUAUCGAAAAAGCCAAGAACUGGCUCAAAGCUAAACUUGCUGAGAUUAAGAAACUUGGCGGCCCAGUGCCUCUGGAAGCUGCUAAGGUUGAAAAAGAGAUUGCAAUCCAUAAGAAACACCAGAGCGAGUUAUCUGAAUUCCACAAUGAUACUUUGACUGAAGUGAUGCGCCAAGGCAAUGCCGUAUCUAAGGACUGCUCUCCCGAAGACAGGGCUAAGUUACAGGCUAUGCUUGAAGAACUUAACAAAACAUACACUUCUGCUAAGGUUGAUAUUGAUGAUAAACUGGCGGCACUCAACAAACGCUUACAAGGCAGGAAUGAAUUUGAAGCUGAAGUUGCCAAGUGCCAGAGCUGGUUGAAUGAGGCUGAGGUAGCUGCCACUCCUGAACUGCGCACUACUAGCCUUCAGCUUUUGGAAGAACAACUGGCCAAGUUUGAAAAACUCAGCAAAGAAGCUGAUGAUGUUGAGAAGAAUAUUGGCAAGAUUAAGGACAAGUCCAAGGACAUCAUGGACUCGUUGUCAGACUCUAACAAACUACAGCUGAAGGAACAAGUUAAUGUCUUAUCAGAUAGAUUCGCUAGGAUUAAAGCUAUCAUCAACGACAAAAAGGGCAUCCUGCUCAAACACAUCAAGGAAUAUAAGGAUGCUGCAGCUAAGAUCGCUGCUGCUCUGGAAUUCUUGAAUGAAAUCCAGAACAAAUUGAAGGCUUUGAACAAACCUAUUGGCAGCAAGGUCGAAGAUGUCCAACCUAUCAUUCAAGCAUACGAAUCUAUCUUAGCUGACCUGAAGAAGAACAAGGCAAUGUUGAAUGAACUCCAAGGUGGAAACCUACACGACCUUCAAGAUAUCCUCACUCAACAGGAUGACUUGAUGAGCACCAUUGAAGACCAAAUAUCGAAGUUGAAACAGCUACUGCUUUUGCGUGAACAAUUCUUCGCAUUAGUGAAAGAAAUUGAGGAGUUCAUCUCUAAAUACACUGACCUCACAUCCGAAAUUGAGAAAUCCAAUGACUCUUUGGAAGACAAGAUUAAGCGUUAUGACGACAUCAUUGUUAAGAUUCAAGGCUGCGAAGCUUUGCUUGCUACUGCAACAGACAAGGGUCAACAGAUCGCUGCUGAAGGGACUGUGAUCGACAGAAACAACAUCACCGAACUUUUACAAUCUCUGAAACAACAGCUUCUGACGCUGAGAAGAACCGUAGAAGCCAAGCGUCAAGAACAUGAGAGAGCCGCUGCAGAACAUAAGAAACUUGGCUCAGAUCUAUCUGAGAUCCUUCAAUGGCUGCAUGAUAACGAAGCUGCUGUACAUUCACGACCACUACUUAACAGAGAUGUCGCUAGUGUCGACAAGAAACUUACCGAACAUGCAACACUUGUCAAGAACAUUCAGUCAUACCUUGACAAGCUAACUAAGAUCACUGACGUCAUCAAGAACGACGAUGGCGUCCCAAGCACACUCCUGGAAAUGAUGUCUGAAGGCAACUCUCUCAAGACAUCACUCCCAGCAGAAUUAGCCAACAGAGAGAAAUACUUGCAAGACAACAAGAAAUACAGGCAGCAAUACCUGCAACUCGUCGAGAAACUGAACAUUUGGGUAAACGAAGCGACCAUACGCCUCGACAUGGGCAAGAACGGCACCGACUUCGAAAACAUCGAAUCUGAUUUGGAAGAACACAAAUCAUUCUUUAAUACAUCCGAACCAUCGAUGAAGGAUCUUGUUGGCAAGCGUAUGCAAGACAUUGUCGACAAGAUCUGGCCUUCUCUGGCUGCUUCUGAGCAAGAAGAAUUAUCGAAAGACCAUCAAAAGCACAACCAACUUCUUAAGAACACGUUGAACUCUGCGAAAUCUCGUCAAGCUCAGUUAGAACAAGACUUGGAGAUCUGGAAGGACUUCUGCCAGCUGGUUGACAAGAUAAAGGCGAUCCUAGACAAGAAUGACAUCCAAGAUGAACCGGUGACGUCCGUGGACGCGCUCAGACUGCAUCUCGAGAAGCUGAAUCAUGCCAAGAAUGACCUUGAGAACCAGCAGCCGCUCUUGGACGUGGUCCGGGAGCGGGCGCGCGAGCUCUGCUCCGGCGCUGAUGCUGCUAGUGGGGAGAGGGUCGAGCAGAGGACCAGGGAGCUCGCUGACCGAUGGAAUGUAGCCUGUGAAGGCCUAGCCAAGCGCGCAGCGACAGCCGACCAGCAACUCCACCGCUGGAAUCAGCUGCUCGACGUACAACGUACCUUGGGAGCUGCCAUCACGGCUGCCUCUGACCGGCUGCGACAGUUGGACGCCAACCCCAGCACUAGAAGGCGUGCGGUUGAUACUAGGCAUGCUCUACAGGAACUCCAAAGCGAAGUAUCAAGCUUGGAAGACAGUCGUGACGAGCUGCUAGAACACGCAGACUUUGUUGUCAACAUCUUGAAGCCGCACUCUAAGGACGCCGCCAAUGACACCGAGAAGAAUGUCAAGGAACUCGUUGAAGCUUACGAGAAAUUGCGACAGACUCUUGCGGCGCGGCUCGCGGAGAUCGACGACAUUGUGUCCGAAUUCGAUCGCGUGUCGGAGAAAAUCGACGAGCUCCGACAGCAGAUAGAAGUGUUGACAGCGAAAGUAAGGACUUUCUACGUGUUCGGCGAGGACGAAGCGGAUAGCGUGCGCGCAUUGACAAACGAAGUGUCGGACUUGGUGCAGCGCACGAAGAACUUCACGGAGGAGAGCAGGAAGCGAUACGGAGGAUCAGCGCCGGCGGACGUCGCGCAGGAGCUGUCCUCCUUAGAACUAUCAUCUGAGGCACUAGCAGCAGCAAUGGAAGAGAAGGAGAGGGAAUGGAAGCGCGCCCGCACGGCUCGCUCGGAGUACGCGACGGACGUGGAGGACGUGCAGGCGUGGCUGCGCGCGGCCGAGCUCACGGCCCGCGACCGCACGCUGGCGCCCGAGCCCUACCGCGAGCGCCUCGUGGCCACGCGCGCCGAGGUGCCCGGCGUGGCCGACCGCGUCGAGCGCCUCACGCGCAACGCCCGCGCCAUCGUGGAGGGCAGCCGCGACGCCGCCGAGCGCCAGCUGGUGCAGUCCACGGUGUCGGCGCUGUCGGAGCAGUUCGCGGCCGUGUGCAGCGAGCUGGAGGCGCGACAGGCCGCGGUGGAGGACGCCUGCGACGCCGUCGCGCGCUUCCUCACACUGCUCGAGAAAGUCCUACUUUGGGUUGAAACGCAACGUGCAUUCCUAGCGCGGCCACUCCCAUUGGCCGACUUGCAGGAGGCGCAACAGAAACAGACUGAAUAUGGGAACGCGCUCAAGAGCUGUAAGCAGCAAGCCAAGAAUUUAGCAGAUAUGGCAAAGGAGAUAGAGGCAAUCGAACGGGUCACAAGUCCGGGUGACUUGCCUUCUAGGCUAGAAGCAGCAGAGAACGCGACCGUUGACGUCGAAAAGAAAUUAGCGAAGACAAACGGUCUAUUACAAGAACUAGCGGAAGAAUGGGAGCGAUGCGAAAGAAAAUUAAAGGACGCCGGGCAUUGGCUCGAAGCGACGUCUAGGACUCUAGAGACACCCCAGAAUGCAAAGAAACCUCUCAGGGAUCGUCUCGCCCUGAGGGAGAAAUUGAUAAAUGACAUCUCCACGCAAAAGACGAAGAUCUCAUAUGCAGUGGAAAAACUCAACGUACACUUCGGGCCGGACGGCGUGGCGGCGCAGUCCCGCGGGCCUGCGGGCGUGGAGGCGGCGGCGCGGGCGCUGGGCGCGGCGCUGGACGCGCUGGCGGCGCAGACGGGCGCGCAGGCGGCGGCGCUGGGCGCGGCGCUGGCGCAGGUGGACGCGUACUGCGCCGACGUGGCGCGGCUGCGCGCGCAGCUGCUGCAGGCGGAGCAGCAGCUGCGGCAGGCGGCGCAGCCCAACUACAGCCCGCGCGAGCCCGAGCGCGCGCACCACACGCAGCAGGAAAUCGGCCGGCGAAUCGAAGAGCUGACCGGAGCAAUCUACGCGCUGGACCCGUACUUCGUGAUGCCGGCGGCAGACGAGCCGGCCGCCACUCUGUCCAUGCUCGCGUCGAGCGCGGCGCAUGCACGCAGCGCGCGGCGCCCGCGCUCGCCGGAGCGGCGCCAGCGCCUGGCCGUCGCCGCGCCCGCCGCCCGGCCGCGCUCGCCCUGCUGGGCGCCGGGCGGCGUCACCUACGCCGAGAUAGUCAAGGGCUCCGGCUCGCGCUCUAGCUCCCCGCCCCUUCACCGCGAUGUGCCAGUGGAAGUGGACCCGUGUGUGCCCAGUGACGCCCCUGUGACCGAGUCUAUCAGUGUCAGUGAGCCUUAUGGCGGUGACGUGAUCGUUUACUAUGAUGAAUAUAUCUCUCGUCCGGAACCGGAACCGGUUCCCGAAUACUAUGCGGAACCCCCAGUAGAGUACCGGGAGAUGCCAAUCGAUGUGCCGGCACCCGUGUAUCGGGAAUCACCCGAACCUCUUGGGACGUCGCCGGAUCAACCGUUAGGGGAGCAACCUGUACAAUUAGUAGAAUCGGAAAGGGCUAUGAGCCCCAUACAGAAACAAAAAUCGCACGAGUUGUCUUAUGCGGAAAUAUUAGCGCUAGGGCUACGCAAACAAGCGCGUACACAAAACGUUACGUCCUUACCGAAACCACAAGUUGCACAUGUUGAGCUGGUUAAGGAGAUCGUAGUAGAAUGCGUUGAAAGAUCUCCACCGAUUCAGCAAUAUGAAUCGAAAGUUGAGAAGAUUGAACCGCCUAGGUUCAAACCCGAUAGACCAGAUAAGCCUGGUAGGAUUGAAAGACUUGAAAAACCUGACCGUCCACCUCCUAGAAGUAGGUCUAGAGAAAUGCCAAGACAGAGGCGUGCACCAGAAAAAAGACCAACAAAGGCGCAUGACGUUCAGGCUAUGAAAAAGAAGAAGACCAUGAAAAAGGUCAUUGAAGUUCAAGACUUUGAUGAACCUGAGCAACCAGUAGAGGUUGAAUUGGAACCCAUUAGGGAUACACCUAUUGUGCGUGCGCUGGUAGAACCGACCAUAGAGACUGGCUUCAAGGAAGUCACAAAAAAAUUACAGCAUAGUGCCACAGUUGUAGAGACUGUGACUGAGAUAGUUGCAGAAGAUUCUCAGCCCGAAAACACCGUCGAAGAGGUUGAACCGAAAAAACCCAAGAAAAAGCAAAAGCCUAAAAAACCUAGGUCUCCUGAAGAUGAAAUACAAAAAGCUCUGAAAGAGAUAGAAGAGUUAGAAAGAAACAAAAAGAAAAAAACAAGAGAUGCUCGUGAUAAGAGUAAAGAAAGCAUUGCUGAGGUAAUUACAAUCGAAACUCCGAAAGAACCAGAAGUGAUUGAAUUGAAAAAACAACCAGUCAAGGAAUCAGAUGUCCAGAAUAAGUCUAAGAAAAAGAAAAACCACAAAGAAUUACCGGUUCCGCCUAGUGAUAUUAGUACUGAGUUCAUAACUGUUGAGUCUACCGCGCCAAUUGAGGUUGUGACUAAGGAAACCAAGUCGAAAAAGAAAAAGGGUCCUAAACAACCUUCUUUGGAUAAGUCGGAGCAUUCGGAGCGCAGUUCUGCUGGUAGCAUAACUGACGUUUUUUCUGUUGCUGACUCUAGUUCGACAGUGCAAACACUUGUUGAUACCACAUCUGAACUUACCUCCGAACGCGAAGUCCUAGAACUUCUUACGCAGUCAGAUAUCAUAGAGGAACCAGUUGUUUCAUCAGUCGAUGAACGUGCUGAAGAAACCGUACCCGAAACUUCACUUGAAGUUUUUCCUAAAAUUUCCUCUUCUGUAGCUGAUAAUAUUGAAUCUAAGGAAGGGUUUGAAAAUAUUCUAAUAGCUUCUCAGAAAGAAGUUGUUGGAAAUAGUCAAACUUUACAGGAGCACACUCCUGCAAACGUAGAGAGAGAAGUCUCCAGUACGAUUUCUAUAACUGAGACAAUUGUUACACAGCAAACACAAGAAAUCGUACAAGCUACAGAAACUAAAGAACAUGAACUUUUGUCAGUACAGACAAAGAUUGAUCAAAAUGAAGAGCAAUUAAACACAAAAGCUUCUAAAAAUAAAAAGAAAUCUAAUAAGAAUAAGGGUAAAACUGAAGCAAACAUCGCAGAGUUUAUAGUUAAAGAAUCUGAACAGAUUCAACCAGAACAAAAAGUGCAUGAAAAUGUACAAGUGGAACAGGAAAAACCGGUUCUAGAACAACUGGAUGUAAAAUUCCAACAAUUUGACACUGAAAUCGAACAACCAGAACCAACUGAGUUAAAAUCUAAAGAUUCAGAACUGGUGCAAGUAGAGCCGGUGCAGCUUGAGUGGUCACAACUUGAAUCAGAAGAAACGAAAACCACCUUGUUACCUAGUGAACCGCAGCUGGAAUCCUUGCCGAUGUCACAUGAACAACUAGAGUCAAACAAACAGGAUGCUACACAGAUAGAGCAAACAGAGUUUGUGCAGAAAGAGCUGCAACCGAUAGAACAAAUUCCUUUGGAACCAAAACACGACACUGUUAAAUCAGAUGAUAGUUCAUCUAAAAAUAAAAAGAAAAAGAAACCAAAGAAACAUGAAAAGACCCCAGAACCAAUACCCUUGGAAGCUGCUGAAGUAGUUGAAAUUAUUGACGAACAAUUCAAAACAACUGUCAUAGAACCAGUUGUUACCGAAAUACCAAAUCUGGUGGAACAGGUUGAGGAACAGAAACCACAAAAGAAGAAAAAAUCUAAAAAAGGUAAACAUGCUGAAGUAAAAGAAGAUACAAUUGAACCGUCGACGGUUGUGGAAAAUAAAGAAAUUGAGAAGCCCACUGAAGUAGUUGAAAGCACUCUUAAAGUUAUUGCAGAAACAGAAUCUACUUCGGAUGUUAAGCCUUCCAAAAAGAAAUCCAAAAGUAAAACAAAACCAGAGGGAACAAAAGAGCUUCCGGAUCAACCGGAAUUGCCUAUCCAUGAAUCCCCCGUGGAAGAACUUAAAGUUGACGAGCCCGCCUUUGAAGAAGUUAAAUCGCAUAAAAAGAAAAAAUCAAAGAAACAAAAGAUUGACGAUGAUGAUAUCGAGAAGGCUCUUAAGGAAAUUGAACGUUCUGAAGGAUCUAAAAAGAAGCCUAAAGAGAAGACGCCAAAACCUAAAGGCAAACAGGAUCAAGCAAAGGUGGUAGCUACGGAAUCUAAAGAAGAAACUGAAAUUCAACUCGAGUUAACUUCAAAAGCAAGUGACUAUGAUAAGUCACCCGAUGAUGACAUUGAAAAUGUUCAGCCUAUUGAACAUAUUGAUUGGAACGAACUUUUGGAAGAAGAAGAAGGAGCUAUUGAAACAACUUUUGAACCAAUCAGCAAGCCUGAAAUGGACUUAACUUCUACUGAAACUGCAUUUGUAGCUAACCAAGUGACCAUACUGCAAGAAGCCUCGAAUUUGUUAUUGGAGGAAGAGCGUACUAUCAACAAAUUGGAAUCUUCUACAAGUGAGGUUCAUAUAGAAAAGUCAACGGUAGAAAAAUCCGAAAGUGAUAAAGUAGAAAAAACUGUAAUUGAAGAAGAUAAAAAGUUGGUAACACCUAUGACUAGUCCAGCUAACGAGCAGAACAAUAACGAUAAGUUCUUUUCACCUGACGUUCUGAAAGAAGGGUCAUAUAACAUUGUCGAAGAGAUAACACAUUAUGAACCUAUCACUCAAGAUGUUGAAACUCGUACUAUAUACUUAAUCACACAUGAAGAGAAAAAGCUCCCUCCUAUCAGGACAGUGAAAGUAUUUAGGAGUAAGAGUAACUCGUUAGAAGAACCUCAGUCUAUCGAAGAGAAUGUAGUUUUAAGUGAACAAACGAUAGUGACUAACAAAAUCACUGAUGAAAAGUCUUCCAUUAAUGUUAGUGAUAAUCUUUUAGACAGUAAGAUUAUAACGGAGAAGUUGAUCGAUGAAGAAAAAAUACUUAGUUCUGAAACGAAACUUCCAGAAACAGAAGAACUUGAGAUGACACCAAAAGAUAAUGUUAUGAAAACUGUGGAACAAGAGAUUGACGUUGAAGAAGUUAAGACUUCAGUACUUCAACCGGAUGAGGAAUCUAAAACAACAGAUUAUGUUCAAGUCCAUCAAGAGAAACAAAGUACUGGUUCUGAACAGAUUCAACAUGGUCUGAAACUGGACGAAAGUUCGAUCACUAAACCUGAGAAACCGUUAUCUGAGGAAGAUUUCUCCGAUAUUCUUGAAGAAGCCAUUUUCGGUUCAGUUCAAGAUCGCAACAGAAAAUCCACUGAAAAGAGAAUCAAGGAAAAACAUUCGAACAUACCAUAUCAAGAGUUAGUCAACGAAGUCAAGUCAUAUUCAGAAAAUUUAGACACUUAUAACCUGGACUAUGAUUAUUCCCAGUUAAUGAUAAGUCAAAGAGAUUCUCAGAAUACUGAUAUGAAUAUCGAGGUUGAACUUCAGGAAUAUAAAUCUGAUGAUUUCGUGUCUGUGGAACCUGUCAAAGGUUUCGACAUUGAAGAGAAAUCACCAGAAGUUGGUCAGCAAGGGACAAAAGAUUAUGAAAUCGGUUUGGAUUCUUCCGUUACUGAAAACCCAAUUCUUGUUCCGGAAACAUUGGCAGUGACCGAACAGAUCCCAGACAAACUUCAACAUGAAUUACUUAAAACACAUGAAAUUGAGACAUCCACAAGAUACGAUAUCGAACAAACUGCUGAUUUUAUCAAAGUGGAAACACAGAAACUCGUAGAUGAAGUUGAUGCUUCUGUACCAAGUGUAAAAGAAGUAAUAAAAAUUGAUCAACUAAGCUUGGAGGCGCCAACAGAUAUAACUGAGGUUUUAAAUAAACAAACAUCACCUGAAUCAGCAAAUGAUGUUACAGCAGAGCCUACAUUUAUUUCACUAACAAACGAAGAAAAGCCUAGAGUAAAUUACCAAGAUAUUAAAGAUGCUGAAAUAACCUUAGCCUCCAAUAUUUGUACUGAACCGGAAUUGUCUGACAUAUCUCCAGAUGCAAAAACAGAUUCUUCUUUGCGUGUCUCAAGAACUGUUUUAACUGCAGAUGGAAGUCAGGCUUUAGAUUUAUCAGUAGUACAUACUGAACAAGUUUCUAAAGAAGAAGAGGUUAAGAGAGUUUCUCCUGUAAGAGAAGAAGCACCUAGGCUAAGUUAUCAUGAACUCAGAGACGCUGAAUUAAUCUAUGCAUCUCAAGUUAAGCCUCAAACAGAAUUGAUCAUCGGUAAUGUUGAAUCGGACAUUACUGAUUCAAACGUUCAAUGCAUAAAACCAGAUGAAGCGAAACAAACCGAACUUGCUUUAAUUACGCAAGAUACCGUUGUUUCAAACACUUCUGAUAAAACAACUACAAUAAAGACUGUCUCCGAGCAUUCUGUUGAUCUGAUUUCAGCCGAAAGUUUAGUUACAAAGUCAUUAGAGCAUGAGGUUGCUGAUAAUGAAUCCCUUCAAACUAGUGAACAAUAUAAGGAUGGAAAACCGCAAUAUUCAUUUGAGGAGAUUCCGCGCCAGAGUUAUCACGAAAUAUUUGACGCCGAAAGACGUCUUGCUCUUGAAAAUACGCGAUCUAGUUUGGUUGAGCCAACCAGUACAAUAAUUACGGAGGACAAAUUAAAUUCAAUUACAACUGAUGUAAAUAUAGAAAAAGCUCAAACACCAAAGCUCGAGCUUGUAAGCCAAGUCCCUUCUAUAAGCUACCAGGAAAUAACUGAUGCUGAAAAACUCUUAGCUACUACGAUUAAAACAACUGAAGCAAUCGAAGAACAAACGAAAACUGUUGUGAAAGAAAACAUUUUACUUGAAACUUUGUCAGAUGGAAAGGUCAAAGAGCCCAGCCAUUUAAUAGCUGAAACGCCUCGUGUGAGCUAUCAAGAAAUUUCGGAUGCAGAGCAUUUGUUGGCUACUAUAAAAUCUAAAUCAAGGGAAGCUAGCACUGAACCAACCUUGGCAAUCGAAGAGGAAGAAAAAGCUGCAAAUAUUGAAGACGUCGAUAUUAUUUCUGAGCCAAUCACUGACAACGUGCAAAAGAUGGAGAAUCACAUAAGCAACAAUGAAUCCUUUAUUGGUAAUGGUGAUAUAGAAGGUCAAGUUAUUGAGAAUAUUCCAGUUGUGGACCCAGAGCCGGUGCAGGCCAUACAACCUAUUUACGAGGUUCCAAGAUUCAGUUAUCAUGAGUUGAACGAUGCUGAAGUAUUAUUGGCGUCCACACGGACAUCAGUGCAAGAAAUUGAAAUGCCGGAAGCAGCUGAUAUUACUCCAGCUUCAGAAAUAUUAUCUGAAACUGUUGAGACAGUUUCAUCGCAAGAUCAGCAAGUUGCGGAAAAUAUACUCGAGCCAUUACGCCACAGUUACCAUGAAAUCCAAGAUGCUGAACGUGUUCUAGCAUCUACGAAGUUAGAUGAAAAAGAGAAUAAUCUUGUUGAAGAACAAAAGCAACCAGCUAAUGAAAGAACACCUGCCGAAGUAGAAGUGGCCGCUCUUCAAUUUAGAGAUGAACUAAUUACUUCAACUAAAACUGACGUUGAGCAUACUACUGAAUUCAUUUCUCAUGAAAGUGUCGUCACAGAAUCAGUCCAACAAAUACAUGAAGCUGCAGAGGAUCCUACGCAGAGGGCACCUUUGGAAAAAAUAGAACUUUCAUUCGAAGUUGACGACCUUAGCAACACACCGAUUUCGGUAGUUUAUGGUAGUGCGGAGGUUGAGACUCCAACAUUGGAACUUAAGGUGCCAGUGUUUGAAAGUCAAAAUGCAGAGUUAGUCUCCUCCGUAGCUCCAGAGAAUAUUGAAAAUAUACAAAUGAUCGAUGCGACUAAAACCGAUCUACAAAUUAGUCAAGAUGAACCAGUUUCAUUGGAAGAAGAUACUUUUGAAAUCAUUGAUCAUAGUGAAAUUAAAGACAUUAUUAGCACUAUACAAGUUUCUGAAACUGAAGAAAUACAAUCCAACGUGUCUGAAAAUGUACCACAGAAAGUCGAAUUAGCACUUAGUGCUUCAGAAAGUACUACUGAAAUUGGCUCGAGUCAAAGCGACAUUACUACGGAAAAUGUGCGUUCUAUAACUCCAAAAUCUAGCGACGAUCAUACAAUUGUUCAAGGUCUGAUUGAAGAAGCUCUCCAGGAACCUGAAACGAUUACAAGGACUAAACCAGUAUAUGAAACUUUCGUUAUCGACGACCUAAAUGAAACUCUUGUGCCUGUGGUUUUCGGUGAUAUUAAGGACAUCGAAAAUUCAAUCAAGUAUAAAAAACAAGAACUUCUUUUAGAAACUGAACCACUCAAAUCGGUCCAAUCUGCAAGCCCCGAAAAAGAUGUCACUGAGGAACCAGUAAUUGUUGAAACAUCUACUCCCUUAGAAGACGUUGAGAUUGUUGAUACCCACGAUGAUUUUACCAUCCCUCAUCCAAGUGAAUUUGUUGAAGGUCCUACGGUCGAUCUAGGGCUCGAUGCUAAGCCUGAAACUAUCUCGGCGGAAUUCAUACAAUCUGAAGUUUUAGAAUCAGUUAGGAACUUACCGAAAUCCGAAAUAACACAACCUGUUAUGGAUACGCACAAAGUUACGGACGCAAAACCUGAAAGUUUAGAUUCAAGGGAAACUAGGGAAAUACAACUAACACAAACUGAAACUGUUAGCCGUGUAGAGAAAUCUCCUAUACAUAGCUUGCAUGAUCUCCUUCCUGAAAUCGACUCCAUCCCCGAAUUUAAACCCUCUUAUUCGAACACCGUAUUGUAUUCAAAAUUGUCGGCUGAUGCACCUGAGUUCACACCUUCUUACAUGUAUCAGACUGUUACUACUGUGUCUGAGAGUAGAUCUGAUGUAGUCGAAGAUGCACCUGCACCUAUUACUAUGGAGGAAGAUACUAUCAAAGUGGUUACAGAAGAACUUCCGACACAACAGCAACAACAAAUUUCAUAUUCAUCAGUAUUACAAAGUAAAAAAGAGAGUCCAGAAAAGAUACCCCAAGUUACAGAAACUGCUGAAAAACUUACAGAAGUUGAAAUUCCUGCUGCUGAAGUAUCUGAAGAACACGUUGAAAAUAAAACAAAGAAACAUAAAAAGAAAAAGAAGAAGGAAAAAGAAGAUAAAAAGGAUACAAUGUUGAAGUCAGUGGAAGUUAAGACUCCAACGGAGACGGUACCUAGUGAACAACCUAAGCCCAAGCAUGAAUCGCCAUGCCCUGUUAAUGUAUGGGCAAAAGCAGCUGAAGACGGGAAAACUUACGCUGAUGUUCUGUCUGAAGGUCUUCUUCAUGAUCACGCUGAACAUACACAAUUAGUUUCGGAAAGGCCAACAGACGUAGAAAUACCCCAAACUAGGCCAGAAAAUGUACCAGAAGUGGCACAAGUUGUUCCACCAGCUGUACACGCAAUUCAGGAUGUUAUAGAGACCACUCAAUCAACCUCAAGUAGCGAGCAAAAUAUAGGAUCUUGGGCACAUAUAGUUGCCAAGCGAUCAUCACCUGAAAGAACACAUAAAGAAGAAGAAAAACAUGUAGCACCAGUGCCUAUUCCUUCUAAAGCUCCAAUGAUUCUUGUUGACGAAUCUGAUAAUGACCAUCUGAAACCUGAAGUGACAGUCGACGCUGAAGGAUUUAUCACUGUGGAUAGAAGUAGACGUUCUAGAUCAAAAUCCAGAGAUGCACGUUCACAAUCAACUGCCUCACAAAAACGAGAAACACGUGAGAAGUCUGAAAAUAGAUUUGAAGCAUUAACUUCUACCCUUAAACCAGAUGAUGGUGAGUCAACACAGAGUCUGUCAGAGGACGAGAAACCCUCCAAGAAACCAAGCCGUAAGAGCCGUUCUUCAAAGUCAAGGGAGAAGGAUGUUAAACCUAAAAUAAGUGUGGUAGCUACGAGCACAAGCGACGAAGACAAGCAACCACCUAAGAAAGAUAAAAAGAAACGCUCGUCCAAAUCAAAAGAUAAGGAUGUUAAACCUCUAGAAGAAAAGAUAGAUCAACCCAAAGAUGUUGAAGAACUAAAACCAUCGAAAGUUGAGGAGGAGGUUGAAGAAAAAUCGGCUACCUCAGCUGUUCAACCUGAGCCUAAAAAGAAAAGUAAAAAGAAGAAGAAAGACAAAAAGCCUUCAGAAAUAGCAGAUGCCACUGAGCCUUCAUCCCCUGCAGAAAUUACUUCUUCAGAACAAGAAGCAAUACCUAUACCUAAAGUACUGUCCAAAUCCCAGAAAAAGAAGGUGGAUACUCCUGCUUCAACACCUGAGUCUGUUCAGACACCAAUCAAAGACAGAGUUUUCUCUGAAGCUCAGUUCUGGAAGAUGGAUCCUAGUAGCCUGGAUACGUCUGAAAUUAUAUCUGUUGAAAUACAACAAACACCAACGGAAAGUUAUAAGAUAGAAAUUAAAGACACUGAAAAGCUCACAAAUGUACAAUCUGAAAAUAUAGAAACCGUGCAAUCUUCUACACAAUUAGUUCAUGAAGAAAUUCCGUCAGCAGAAACGCAAAUUCAAGAGCUAGAAGAUACGAUUGCUGAGGACCAAUCACUUGAAAGCAAAAUGGCUGACUUGCAGCGUGAAAUAGAGGAAAUGUUAUCACCCGAAAACGAUUCCUCACUCAGUGACGAUUCUCCGAAAGAAUUAACUGAUACUCAAACAUCUAUUGAAUAUCAAUAUGAUGAGCUGCUAGAUAACAUGACCCCUUCUCUUGCUAGCCCAGAUCCUGAAGGUUUGGAAUCUAAACCAAUAGAGGAACAAACACCUGAGGCACUGUUAGAUGAAAAACACACUGAAGAACUUGAUGACAAACACAUAAGUAUGAGCAUGAUAGAUUCGGUGUUGGAUGACACCGAACCACUUUCAAUUACCGAAACUCACUCUUUGGAGCACUCGGAGAAUUUAUUGGUCACGCAAGAAGAAGACAUAACCUCACAAGAUGUUAGUAAACUGGUUCAGCAAGAAGAUGUGUCGGCAUCGACGGAUAAACCUAAAGUUAUAUCAAAAGAAGAAAUGGAAGCAUUAAUAAAGCAAACCAUAGAUAAACAACACCAAAUUACAACUGAGGUCACAAAAAUUACUAGUAUUACCAAAACUGACACUUCAUUGGACAAUCUCACUUCUGUACCCUACUCUGACAAACAAGAGAACGUUAAGCCAUUGGUCGAAAAACCUGAUGUAAAAGAAGAGAAGAAAGAUCAAAUAGCCACAAAACUUACAUCUUUCAUUGAAGCAGAGAAAACUAGUGAAUCACCUGUUUCAAAAUCAGAAGUAACCAAGAAAACGACCCUUGAGUCUGAUGUUUCUCUCAAAAAGUCUGCAGCUUCCUUUAUUCUAACGGAACAACUUCAAGAACUAUCAGUACCUUCGGAAGUGACAAGAGCAGAAGAACCCCAACAAGAUAACAUUAAACCGACAAAACAAAGCAUCUUGGAAAAGGAAACAGCUGAUAUUGUAACCGUUGUCCCACUUUCUAACACUGAAACCAUUACUAACAAUCUCACAAACCUAAAAGCGGAUAACUUUUGGACGGACAAACACAAUGUACAUGAUGCGGAAAAACUAUUAGGAGAACGUAACUCUGUAGAAAGAACAAUAACUCACGUACACAUUGAUGAACCUCAUAUCGAUGAAGGCAUUAGCGUCGAAGAAAAUAUAAUCAAUGAUAAUUCAUUUUGGCCUGAAAAGCAUUUAUAUCACGACGCUGAAUGCCAAUACUUCCUUUCAUUGGCUCGUAAAACUAAAACUUCCACUGUUGACACUACGGAAAUUAAAAUAGACGAUCAAAAUGAUAAAGAUAGAGAUCAGGGUGGAAGCUCUGGUCACUCCUCUGAAGGCGAAGAGCCAAAAGAUGCAUCUGGCUCGCCUUACGACCCUGACUACAUAUCCAUGGACCUUCCCGGUGGCAUAUGUAGUUGGAAAGACAAAUCAUCGUACUUGAGCGUCGAGACACCAGUUGUUGAUGACGCUGUAGAUGAACCUGUGUCUAGGGAGGAUAUACUAACCACCCUACCCAUAGCACCAGCCCCAUCCUCAUCCAAACAGGAGCCGGAGGAGACACCACUGAGGACCGCAAAGGAUGAAUUAUCUAACGAUAUAGAAACACUGCUUGAAGAGAUAAGGGAUGUACAAACACGCUUAUCGGACCUACCCGACGACAGUCUGGAGACCAUGGAGGAAGGCCUCAGGGAGGGCAUCACAAUUCUAGUCAAGUGCGAAGAAGCGGCGGAGAUCUUGGAGACGAAGAUCAUGGAGUACCGGCAGGAGCAGGAGGUGCAGUCCCUGCUCAAGGAGCUGGUCGUCAUGAAGGUCAGGAUCAGCAAGUUGCUGACGCAGGCCAGGGACGGCAUCAACAUCAUCCAGGUAAGAAAGGACGCCAAAGUGGAGGUGGCUCGCCAGGCGAAGGAGGUUGAAGAGCAGAAGGAGAAAAUCGCUAAACUGGACAAGUGGCUGGAGACCAUCAACAAUGGACUCAAGGAGACCACCGUGCAGUCAGAAGUUCUCACAGAGGAAGAUAUUAUUCGAUAUAUUGAAGUUUACGAGCGCUACAUCAGGGAGUACGAGGAGUAUGAGAUUAUACUGAAGUCAAUAACUGUGAUAAGUCAAGAUGAAUCUAGUCAGUCAUUAAGGGCGAAGUUGAAUGCUACACAGAAGGCGUUAGAGGAAACGAAACAUCUAGUCAUUAUAGAGAUAGAGAGGUUAAGACAAGUGCUGCUGCAGAUGAGAUUAGUACCAGAAGCUGUCGAGGAGGACAUCUCGCAGACUGACAGGACAAUCGACUCAACAUCGAUGCCUGAAGAAGUCGUGUCGCCGAGAGAAAUCGUCAAAGAAAAAGAACCAUCAGAGAAAGCACCAUCGGUUAAACAGCCGUCCGUCGAAGAAAGUGUGAAAGUUACAGUACAGGAAAGCAAACCUAGUCACGAGAAGCCUGAACCAAUUCAGGUUGUCAAAGAAACUGUGGCAAUGGAAACGCAGACCGGCAAGAGUCUCAUGUCAGAACCUCCAUCCGUGUCUGACAAAUCUGUGAUAUGCCAACCAGAGGCGAUUGUGACGCAUGACGUGUCCAUCACGUGCGCUCCUCCUAUGGAAAUGGCAGUACAAACUAGUGAACCACACUCUGAAACUAAAGAAAUCCUAGAAAACAUCCAAGUCAGACAGACAAUUUCUGACGGUCAUGAGACUAUUGAAAUUGCCAGCAGACCUGUGAUUAGAGAGCAGAAACUUGAUGAGAAAUCUCUUCUAGUUGAUGCUAACUACAGGGAUGAUAACUUAAGAAAAGAUUCUCAACUGAAUAUUACUCAUAGUCUGCCACAGUCCUUCGAGACAGUAAUGACGGAACCCGAUGAAACAACCACAGAAGUAGUAGUCGACGCUGAUGGUACUAGGAGGAUUAUUGUGAAGAAGGUCCGAAAGACCUUAGUCACACGGCAGCAGGUAGUUCAUAGCCAACAACGUGAAUCUCAUAUACUAUCAAGUGACCUCCCACUAGACCAGGCUUACUCCCAAAUAGUUAUUCAUGAUGAGAAAGCUGGAACAUCUACAACCUUGGAUGAUGGUGCAGUACAACACAUGGAAUACCAGACUUUCGGUGGUCAGGUAAUAACUAGUUUACCUGGAGGAGAAGUAACGAUCCAAGAAUUCACAUCUAAACCAGACAUGAUGAUAACUAUGGAGAAGGAUAUGAACCCAGAGCAGAUACUAUUACUAGCUGAGGGUCAAGAACUACCGCAAGUGCAGACCUCUACAUCAAGUGUAACGGCAGUCGUUCAACAAGUCACAAAGAGAAUAGUCAAAACGCGUAGGCGUAUCAUACGUCGCGUUGUUAUCAUUGACGGCAAAGAACACGUUACCGAAGAAAUUGUUGAAGAACCUGAUAAUGUAGAAGUCGUAGAAGAACAGAUUCCAAGGGUUUCUAUCAACGUCAGGGAGAGAGGAGACGUACCAACAACUGGCGAAGAAAAUGAUGACGAUGGUGGAGGCGAUCACCCUGCCCUACCUCCUCACAAAGAUGAUGAGUCUUCUCGUGGUGAUAUACCAAGAGAUGACAAACCAUCUGGAGAUAAGCCCGACGAUGAUAAUAUUAAGAGAAAACCUAAAGAUGAUCAAGAACCAACACAACAAGUAGAUGAACCAAUUGAGCUUACCCAGGCUCAACAACUAGAGAAAAUGAUGCAGGACUUCAUACAAAAGGAAAGCAGCAGUCAGCGUAAGCAUGUCACAAAAACUACUACUACACGCUCUUCCCAAGAACGAGAAGGCACUCCAGUAAAAACAGUGACGGUGUCAGAAUCUUUUGAAAUUCUGCCAGGUGAUGAAAUGCAUAUAACACAAGAACCUGAUGAAACUACCUACACUGUACAAGAACCUCACGAAGGCCAGACUACAUUCAUAACUCAUGGAACGCAGCAUUCAACCUUUGAAUCUUCUUCAACCAAUGUGGCUACUGUCGUACAGAAGGUCACUAGAAAGAUUACAAGAACACGGAAACGUAUUAUCAAGCACAUACAAAUUAUAGACGGCAAAGAACAUGUUACUGAAGAAGUAAUUGAAGAACCAGAUGAUGUUGAAAUCAUCGAAGAGGAACCCAAUGUAUCACACAGCAUACAAACUGAAGGCGUUAAAACAAAACGCAUUAAAAUCAUUAAACAAGUGCAGAUAAUAGAUGGUAAAGAACAUGUAACUGAACAAAUCGUUGAAGAACCAGAUGAUGAAUACAUUCCUGAUUCGACUAUUACUACUGAAAUUGACGUCUCGUUAAGCAAGCCUGAUGUUUUGGAAGUUAUUCAAGAAGAUGAGAAAGUAGACCACCCAAUUACUAGGUCAACCACCGUUACUGUAAUGCCGUCAUCUAAAGACACAACCAUCGUAGAUGUGACUAAGAGCUUUAUCGGCACAGAAAUGCUCCAUUCCGUGCCUUCAGCUUUGGAAGAACCGAGUGAUAAACCUGAUUCAUCUGUUAAAAUCGUUGAAGAAGUUUUGAAGAUUAGUGAGCCCAAAACUACCACCAUAGUUACAUCAGCAGAACCGGAUGUAAUCAAAACAACUACAGUAACUAAACAUUCUUCAACUGAAGUUACUACUGUGACUUCUACUGAUCAACAAAAGACAAGUUUGAUAGAUGCUACAAAGAGUUUGCUUGGAAGCGAAAUCGGACAUUCAUUCUCACCUCAAGAUGUUACAAAGAAACCUAAAGAUGACAAAACACCAAUUGAAGAAGUCGAAUUCAUUAAAUCCGGAAGCCCAGAUGCUACAGUGAUCACUAAAACGGUUACUGUAACUGGACCAACGGAACAAUCUAAGACGGUCACAACCAUUACUACGUCUGAGAAAUCAGGUCCCGUAGUCACACAAAAAGAAACUGUUACAGUUGUAGGCUCUACUGAAAUAAUACCUUCCACAAAACCGAUUGAAGAAGAAAAAGUUCCUAAACAGGUCCCACAAGACAAAACUCAGGAGCCAGAUACGGUAAUGCAAAAGAUUCAAGAAACUGUCCAAUCUACUGAACCUGAAAUUUCAGUUACUACUAAAACGACAAAAACAACUAAAGUGACUGAAGUAGCCACUGAAAAACCAGUUGUUAUUGAAACUGUAACUAAAACAACAGUUACUGAGGUUCCUGAAACAAAUGGCUUUAAAGAUACCAGUCUCAUUGAUAUAACUAAGAGCUUGAUUGGCAGUGAAACGGAUCAUUCUGCCAUUUCUAAAAUACCAGCAUCACCUGUUAAGGCACCGAAAGAUGUUAAACAGGUUGUGGAGAAAGAACCUGAAGCUCCUAAGGAACCAGAGCCACUGAAGUCAGUUGAUGAGAAACUGCCUAAGGACGAAGAACUAAAGCCCAAAGUAACGGUAGAAAUGAAGUUGACUGAAGAACGUUUGCCUGACAAGGAACUUCAUAAACAACCAACAGAAAUCAUUGAAACAACUGUCCAGUCACAAAAGGAUACAUCUCUACAUGAUAUUACAAAGAGCUUCCUUGGAACUGAAAUCGACCAUUCUACAAUUCACAAACCUGUAGAAAAGCCUCAAAAACCAGAUGUUAUUCCUGAAAAACCGAAAUCAGAUGAGCCAUCUAAACGGGAAGAGACAAUAACUGUUGAUGGUGGCAAAGCAGUCACCAGUGUAACUACAACAACAACAAGUGUGCAAGAAUCAGUAGUUUCCAAAGCACCUGAAACUGUCAAAAUCGUUAAAGAAACUAUUGAAGUUGAACCACAACCUAUUAGCAUAACUGAGGAAAUUGUGGUACCUACACCCGAGUUGGCUCAAGCUGUAGAAGUGACUCCUGUGACUCCUGCCAGUCAACCAGAUGAGCCUAAGGACAGCGGUCUCGUUGAUCUUACUAAGAGCUUUAUUGGCAGCGAGAUGGACCAUACAGUGGUGUCCAAAAUACCUGCUGUACCCAUUAAAAGAGAGUUUUCACUUGAAAUGGCUGUUGAAGCUAUGGAAGAACCUAAACCUGUGCCUGAAACUGUAACGCCUGUCAAAGAAACAGUAGCUCCAGAAACUGUCACCACAACCAAAGUAACGGAAACAAUUGAAAAGUUAAUCACACCUGAAUCUGUCAAGCCAGGUAUUCCUGUGGAGGAUAAGAAAAUUGAAGAAACGGCUAAACUAACCGAAGAGCAUGUUAUACCAGAACAGAAACCAACAGAUAUCAGCGUGGAGUUUGUCACAAAAGAAAUAACUGAACAAACUGGUGUGACGCAAUUCAACAUCUCUGAAUUCACUAAAGAGUUUAUAGACAAGGAGAGCAUUCAACAUGAAAGUAUUCCAGCUUCUGCCAAGCCUGAAGAAAAGCCUUCAGAUAAACCACUGGCUGACAUUCCAAAAGACGUUUCUGAGACUAGUGUCAAAGAAGUUACUGAAAUAUCUGUUGGUACUGUUACAGAACCAGAGCCAAAACAACCUGAUGAUAAAUCAUCGUCAGUAUAUAUCUCUAUUAAAGAACAAGCAAUCCCAGAACCCAAAGAUGAUGUACCUUCAGUUGCAAAGGAUAUUAAACCUCUAGAACCAGUUAUACAAGAACCUGAACAAAUUCAACAACAGCCUAUUCCAGUGCCUAAGGAAGAUACACCUAAAUCUAUUGAAGAUGGUUUCCUACAAACUGAGACUACCACACCACAAAUUGGCAUUGUUGAACUAACUAAAGAACUUAUUAUCAAAGAAGGAACCGAAAAAUAUGAACAAGUUCCUGAAACUAUCAAGACUGACAUUGAGCUGGUCGUGAGUCACGUUACGACUGAAAAGGCACCAACACAGUCUACGGUAGAAGUGGAACCAUUGAAAGUAGGAACAGUUAUUUCGGAAUCUGAUGUAACUGAAACUCCUGUGGCACCCGAAACGUCUUAUAUCAGACAGUUUGAGCCCCAAGUCCAAGGUUCUUCUGACAGUGUGAACAAACUCUUGAUGACAUUUGGCCAGCCUGAGACACAAGAUGUUCCUUCACAAACUACUGAAUUCGUUGGUCCUUCUCAACCAACGAUAACUAAACCUGAUACUAAAUAUGAUGUGUCCAUGUUACUUCAGUCUGAACGUCAAGACACCGAUCUGCGAGGAUUCAAACCUGAUACUCAAGUUACACAACCCGACAAGCCAGAGCAGACAGUAGAUAUAUCUUUGUCCUUAACUAAAUCCCGAGAGCCAAAGAAGGUUGAACCUAAAGUACAAUAUGAUUUGAAGGUUGCAGAUUUCGAAGCUGAGCCGAUCGUUGUCAAGAAAGAUAUUGAAGUGGUUCUGCCAAGCGAAGUAAAGAUCACGAAAGAACAUGUCAAAGUUCCUGUUGCUGAUGUUGUUGCAGAACAACCUCAAAAAGAAAUCACACCGCCAGAAUCAGUUAAAGAACAUAAGAAGAGCAGAAAGAAGAAAAAGCAUAAGGCUGGUUCAACAACAAGCGAGUCUACUGAAAUUGAAACAGACAAAAGCAUUGCUGGUACUGAUAGUUCAUCUCUCAGUCACUAUGUGGAACUUCCGACUUCGCCUCCACGUGAAUCUCCUACACCAACAGAAGAGGUACUCGAGACAGUUGUCCAAGAAACAAUUCCUGAACCGGUAAAAGAACCGUCACCAGUCGUUAAAACUGCAUCACCAGAACCUAUUGUAGAACCUGUUGUACCUGAAGAACCUAAAGUUGAAACACCAGCAGAACAAAUUAUUGAAGAACCACAGAUACCUGUGAUCGAAGACUCGUAUGUUGAAUCUGAGUCUCUGACCAUAUCAGAGGAACGAGGAUAUGAGGCUGAGGACAUUUCUUUGGGUCCAGUAGCAACACCUGACAAAAAGAAGAAACAUAAGAAACGAAAGCCUCAUGGGGUUAGUGAGGAAACUGCUUACCCUGUAAUCACUACAACUGAGACUGAUGAUACAACUGUGACCACACCAGUUGAAAUGCAGGAACCUUCUAAGAAGAAAGAUAAGAAACGUAAGAGGAAAACACCUGCUGAACCAGCGAAGUCUCCUUCAGAGCCUGAUCUAGAACCAGAACCGAUAGUGGAACCAGUACCUGAAGUGAAACCUGAAAGUCCUAAACAAGGAACUGAAGUAGAAGCUACAUCACCUAAGGAGGAAUCCUACCAUACAAUAAGCGAAACUUCAGACAUCACCACGGUCAAGAUCGUUGAAGAAUGCGUCCAAAGCAGUCCUGAGACGGCUGAAAGGGAAGUAGGAACCAUUCUUAAAUUCCCAGUUCCAGUUGUUGAAGAAAUCGUCACUCAGGAAUAUUCUAUUCAAACAUCACCUGAGGAAACCGAGCCUAUCGAGGAGAUAUCCCGACCUGAAACGUCUGACAUUGAACUGCAAACAACGCCAACAUCUAUGAGCGAAGUCAUUACACAAACCACGCCGGUAGAAGAUAAAGAAGCUCACACACAAACUAUUGAAGAAGUCACUACUGUUGUUGAAAAGAUAAUGUCUGAUACAGAAAUACAAACUAGUAGGUCUGAAACUCCCGAAAAAAUUGUUCAACUGGAAGCCACGACUCAGGUUAUUCCUCAUGAUAUCAGCACACCUGAAGAGAAGUUCUCACAGACCUCUCCGGUUGUUGAAGAACCUGUUGUUGUACCAGAAAAAUCAAUAACACCUGAGAUUGUUACAGAAUCAAGAGAAAUGCAAACUUCACCCUUACCUGUUGUACAGAAAGAUGAGAAGAGUACUGAAGUCCUUGUCGAAACCACUGAAACGGAUAUUCAGACUGUUCAACGAGAAAUCACAGAACAAGGAACAUCAACUACUCCUGUUAAAGAGAAAGAGCUGACCGAGAUGGGAAUGCAAACACCUGAAGUUCCUCUUGUUAGUGCUUUCACUCAGUCUGAUGUGCCUGAACCAGAGCCUGUUAAAGAAGUCGAGCCGAUUGAAAUCCCAGAUGUACCUUCACUACCUUCACUUGAGAUCAAGAAGGAAGUCAUCACAGUUGACAGCACACAGCAAACGACUCCAAGAGAAGAAGUGGUUGCUCCAACACUGGAAGUUAAGGAGGAGGUUAUUACUGUUGAUACAUCACAGCAAACCACCCCGAGAGAACCGGAACCGGUAGUACAAGAAGUUCCAGUAGUCCCAGAAGUACCAAAAGUACCAUCACCUCCUGUGGAACAGGCACCGGAACCUGAGCCAACACCAGUCGUUGAAUCAGUCAUUGCACCUGUUGUUGAACCAAAGAAGGAAAUUAUUACUAUGGACAGCACACAACAAACUUCUCCGAGAUGGCCACCUGUUGUAGCAGCGGCUCCAGAGCCAGUCCCGGUACUAGACCUGCAAAGGAGAGAAGUCGUUACAAUUGACAGCACUCAACAAACAUCACCUAGAGUUUAUUCUGAAGACUCCAUUUCUACAUCUACGGAUGAGCCUUACGAAGUCCAUCUUAGAGCUCAGAUCUCCAUUCCUCAAGCUACAACUGACUUCAUCGAGAGUGAACGCUCCUUUGAAGAACCUCCGCAAUCAAUUUUGGGUGACAAAUACAAACAGAGGAAACGGAAACCCAAGAAGAAAACAGAGUCUCCUCUUGUACAAUCACCGGAAAGUCUGUCAGAUCCUAUCAACACAGAACUUUCUUUGUCCAUGACACCGACAAGUGAAGAUAUGUCACUCAAGGACGCUUCUUCGAUAGAUGAAGGAAUCUCUCAAUUGGUUAGCCCGAUGAUGCCUAAGCAACCUCAACACAAGUUAACUUAUUCCGACGUUGUGCAAAGAUCUAAAUCAAAAUCUCCAUCACCAAGCAAAACCAUCAUCCCUCAGAAAUCAGAGAAGGCUCGACUGCUAGACGCUCUUGAAAAGAGAACUCAAUCAGUAACAGAACCGCAGAAGACCAUACCUGACGAUUCCAUGACUGUUGCAUUAUUAGAGCCCUCAGUUGAGAAAUCAUACAAUCUUGUCGUCAACAAAGAAUUAGAUGAAUUGAAGAAUUCGAUAGAAAGCAAUGAUCCAGUUCGUACAGAAAGAAGUGUUAUUAUAGUCAUUGAAACUAUUUCAAUAUGGCUAGAAGAAAUACAGUACAAGAUCCAAAGACAGACCGUCAGCGGCGUCAAGCCGACAGAGGAAGCUGAGCGUCUGAAGUCACUCAAGAAGCACGUGCAAGAUUUGAGGACCAUCAUUGAAGUGACUGAAGUGAAUGAGGAGAUUAUUACUUUGAUCGAAACAUUAACGCGUCAAGUGAACGCGGUUAAUACUUUGAACAGUCAAAGCUCGGACAAAGUAAAACAAGUGGAACGCGAAUGGAUCAAGUUUUUGGAAGACACAGACAAACUGAGUGACUCCGUAGAAGCAGUCAAGAGUACACUUGACGAUAUCAUACUUUCAGAAAUACCAACGCAACAGAAAUUGGACAAGUUAGACAAAAUUGAAACGGAUAACUUGGACAAUAUUGUAAACGUCAGGAAAAUGUUCAAGAGAUGUCGCAGUUUAGUCGAAGCGAACCCUAAGAGGGAGUGCCCAUCUAAAUUAUACAAUGCCGAUGAUGACACUAAACAAGUGGAGAAUACUAUCAACACAGAAAGAGAUAGACUGUUACAACUAGCUUCUCUCGCGGAAGAAUAUGAACAAACUCUACAGGACUUUGGGCAGAUUACUGAUGUCGCAGAAGCUUUGCUCGAUGGCAAGAUCAUCGUAUCAGACUUAGACCAUCUGCAUGAGGAAAUUCAAAAGCACAGAAAAUUCUUCGUAAACCUGAGCCAUUGCAGAGCUAUCCUCGAAUCACUGGAAGACAACUUAGACAGUGAAACCAGAGCAAAGUUCUCAUCGUUGCAUAAUUCACUGCAUGACAGAGCUACAGUUAUCAUCGACAGGGCUGCGAGUCGAGCUCAACAAAUGACCCUGGCAGCGUCAAGAUGGUCGCUUCUGCAACACGGCAUGAAGGAGGAACAGCAAUGGCUCGUGGUAGCUCAGCAGAGAGUCCCAGACCUGAGCAACGUGACAUCAAGAGAUCACGAACAGUACAUCAAUCUCUAUCAGUCCAUUAGCUUGGACGUCUCUCAUCAUUACGCAAAGAUGCUGCGUUUGUUGUCCAUUACUGAAAGUCUACAGAACUUGAUAGUAUGUUCCGGCUUAGAAACGGAGUGUUCUGUAGCGCUUGAUACGCUGCUGAAACUUCAGGAGGAUGUAGACUCGAGGUUGACUAGACUGACAGCCUUCAAAGAGAACUGGAUGACAUACGACUUGCUCAUCGAUAGGAUUGAAGGAUGGAUGAAGAUUGCCAACAGAGAGCUAGAGUUCAUAACUCCAGAGAACAUUACAACAACUGGCAACCUCAGAAGGUUCUGGGAACUUAAGGCUCAACACGAAGUCCACAACAACUUGAAGAAUGAAUCAGGAGUACAAUUCGAAAAGGCUCUCGAAAUCUUACCAGUCUCUGACGAAAUGGUGCAACGUCAAUUCUUCUCUAAGAUCGAAGACAAAUGGAGUGACUUGGCAUCAAAGAUCGACAACAUCCACUCGUCUGCUAUUCAGAACAUCUCAGACCGUGAUGUGUCCUCGGGUGAAAAGCUUAACAUCCUGGAAGAAGAACUAAGAGAACUUCGCGCUUCAUUGGAAAGCCUUAAAGGCGUGAUCAAGAGCGAAGACGAACUGAACCUGUACAUUGAAAGACUGCAAGUUAUGACUGGACGCAUCGAUAGGAUACAGAACGAGUUAGGCAGAUUGAGCUUAUUGCCUACUGCUGAAUCAGAGCGCCUCGGUGCUUUGUUGACGCAGUCUGGCAUUCUGAACGAUCAGAUAUCUGAGGAGUUGGAGCGCAGCAUGUUGCUGAAGGAGAAGAUAGUGCAGGUGCAGGUCGGCAUUCAAAGAUGCCAGAAGAGUCAGCGCCGAGCUCGGUUGACGCUUGAAGAGUGCGAAGCUGCUGAAAGACUGGGAAGUGAUGUGGUGGAGAGGGCUUCGGAGAACUGUGACAAGCUGAUAGAAGAGUUAGCGUCUCAAUGGCGCGAUAUUCUGGCGCUGCGGCAGUCGCUGCACACGCUGCCGACCAGUCUGCGUGUCGUCGUGUCGCCCACGGGCGUCGAGAAAGACAUCUCUGCUUUGCAGGAAACCCACGCAGAGCUAGAAGCAGCUUGCAGCGACCUGAGCAGCCGGCUCCGCUUCAAGCUGUACCUGUGGCGACGCUUCGAGAGACAGCUCGAGCUGGUGCAGGGCGCCGUGAGGGAAGCUGACUACAUGGUGGAACUCCUCACCGUGCAGGGACAAGUGGACUAUGAUCGCCUGCUGAAGGCCACUGAGAAACUUGAGACCCUGAGCGAGUCACUCUCGCGCCGCAGCGGCGAGCUGGUCGGCGAGCUGACCGCCGCCGCCGAGCCUCUCGAAGCUUCCACCGAGCCGUCCGUGGCCGCCAGCCUGCGCAGAGAGCUGGACGACGCCGCCGCUGCCUACGAGCACACCUGCACUAACCUCAACCAGCUGUGUGACAAGUACCACAAAGCAGUGGAACUCUGGAAGCGUUACCGCGACGCGGCGGCUGCCGUGCGCGCGUUCGCGGACUUCCAGGAGCAGCGCAUACACGCGCUGCGCCCUGACGACGCGCCCAACACUGCGCAAGCAUGCUUAGAACAGGAGGCCCGCGUAGCCGAACUCCGUUCUCUAGCUGCGCGUGUCGCCGCAGAAACUGGGUCCCGGGCCUUACAAGCUGAUGCUGAUGCACUGGCGCGAAGAUUGCAGCUCGUGGCCGGUGCAGUGCAGGCGUUAGCUGACCUGGGUGAAGCCAGGCAGCUGGCCAGGGCUAAGGCACAGCAUGCGAAGGAGAAGCUGUGUGAUAUGAGACAGGACCUGACUCCUGUGCACGAAGACGGUGAAAUAGUCGAAGACAAACUGAUCGCUCUUCGUGAUAACUUAAUAGCUCUCGGUAAGAGCGAAGCAGACAUCGCCCCAGCGAAGGCUGAGCUCCCAGACAUUGACAGAGACGUUUCAGACGAACACUCGAUAGUGAGGAUCUUAGAACUAUGGCAGGCCAUGUUCAGAGAUACCUUCCUCCACUACCAUCGGCUAUCCACCGCACUCGUCAGGUCUGGAGACGCAGCGACAGCGCUGAGACUCUGGCACGAAUACCUAAUAGAUCUGCAAUCAUUCUUAUCUGGCUCAGUACCGGCUGACUACGAAAACCUCACGGAACACCGCCGACUGUGCAGGGUCCAUAAAAACCUGCUGACAUCACAGAGGUCAGUUCUCAUGAACGAGAACAGAGAAACAAGGAACCGGGACUUAGCAGAUAAGUUUGAUACGCUCACGAACCUACACAAUGAGACAUUAGCCAGAAUAGUUGAACGACACGAUGAAGUGUGCACUCGGAUAGCCGCGUGGGAUGACUACAAAGAAGUUUACACGGAACUACUUAGGUGGCUCAAAGAAAUGGAACGAGAGAAGGAAAAGCUCCAACUCAGAUACGUACACAUAAAGAGGAUACAGAAAAUACUUUCCAAGAUACAGAAUCUCUCAGACAAGAUCCCUGAAGGUAGACGACAAUCUGACAAAUUGCUGAGUGACCUGAAGAAGGUGCUCGAAUUCACGGAAGAAGCUUACGCGACAUCUGUGAGAAUGGAGUACGCUGGCAUUGUUAAGCGGGUCGAUAACCUCCAAGCUAGCCUCGACACGUGGAGAGACUUCCUCAACAGGAUACUUGGCUUGAUUAAUGAAUACGAAAACCUGACGAACAAUGAACUGCACAAACUGUACUCGAAGACUCAAGAAGAAAUCAUGACUUACUCUGAUGAAGAUAAGUUAUCCAGGCCACAGCUCAAGAAAGCUAUCGACAGGUACUCUGAGUUAAGGAUAAAGAUUGUUAAAACUGAAACACAGAUUGAAGCUCUCAGCGUUAUUCAGGAACAACUCAAGGAAUGUUUAAGUCCUCAGGACAUUAGGUUAGUGAACCAGAGGGUCUGGCAGCUGCGACAACAGCGCGCCGACCUGGAACAUCAGCUGUCCAUCAUCAUCCACAGAUUACAGGAAAGGUUAGAAGUGUACACGAUAUUCGAUUCCCGUCUCUCACGAUUUGUUGAAUGGAUCAGCACACUGGAAACACGCCUGGAAGCUUCAACUCAGAGCACUGAAAUUGGAGCUAUUGAUCCACAAGACUUGAUCAGAAGGAUAAACUCCGAAGUUCAAGCUGAAACAGCAAUGAAGGAACGUGAAUUCGAAUGGCUCACUGAAACUGGCUCCUCUCUAGUCGAAUUAUCCAAGAAAGACGAAAAGUCUUACAGUAAAAACACAUCUAAGCAACUAAAAGACAUACAAGAACGGUGGUACAAGAUGCAAGAAACUGGAAGAUCAAGAAUAGCUAAGAUUAACGAGCUCUUGGAAACAAUCUCGCAACUAGAAGUACGGCUUACUGAAAUUAGGAUUAAUCUACAUUCCAUAGAAUCUAACUUAUCUACUCCUGUUGUAUUGGAGCAACUAACGACUACUGCUGUUACUGAAAAGUUCAAAGACCGCGAUGACAUACACAAGGUUAUUGAAAAGCAAAGCGGAGAGGUCGGAGAGACUCUGAACCUCUGCGAGCUUGUUUUCAACGACCCUGACGUACUCAAAGGUAACUUUGACCUCCGCAACCUUCACACUGGCGUCGACAUUGUAGAAAAGAUAUGGAAGAACAUCUGUGAGAUGUCCGAACUGCGAAAGAAUGCGCUCAAAGAGAUAUGCAAAUCCGCUGAACUGGCGCACUCGUUACUGCCUAAAGUGGAGAAGAAACUCGAAUCUAUUGAAAGGCGAGUGGAGAAGAUUGAGACUAGGAAGCAACGGGGCGAGCCUGAAGACGAGAGUGUUUCUAAAGCUGUGAUAAAGGAUUUGGAUGGUUUGGAAGGGGAUGUGAAGAGGUUAGAGGACGCUUACAGCCGUAUAGCUGCGGCUCGAGGCGUGGAGCUUCGAGGAGUUGGAGCGGACGACGGUGCGCGGCUCCGCGCGGGCGUACGGCGCUGGCAGCAGCUGCGCGCGCGGAUCAUGGCUGCCGGGGCGGAUCAGCACCGACAGUUCGUGGCCGCACACGGUCGGGCGGUGGUGGCGCUGGCUGAAGCCGAUGUAAGGCUGACGAGAGCGUUACAUCUUGCACCCACACCGCUUGACAAGGACACCGCUUUGAAAGAACUUGCUGGUGUCGAACAAGAACUCCUAGAAUGCCAGGAGCUGGUAGAAGACGCAGACCGACUGGCGGCCGCAGUGUCGACAGUGUCGGGAGUGUCGGACAUGGUGUCAGAGUACCGCGCUCUGUUCGCGGACGUCAGGACCAGGCUCGACCUCGCGCGUGCUGAGGUCGUCGGCGAUGUUGAUUCUGCUGUACAGGUGGACACCCUCAAAUGGGAAACGGACGCUGCCCUCCAAGUAGAUACCCUCACGUCCAAGGAAACCUAUAGAGCAGAACUAGCGAUCGCUGUCAAAGAGACUUCAGAAGCUUUAGACGCACUCCGAACUGCCCUAGACACACAACCUAACGAGAAGGCGAGCAGUGACGAACUUGCCACUGCCGCCAAGGAAAUAGCCAAAGCUGGUGCCAAACCUGGACAGACACUGGAGCUCGCCAAGCAUCUCUCAGAACUACUCCUGACGGAAUGCGACGCCACAGAAGACGAGGCCAUGCUCAAACAAGUUGAAUCUCUCUCCCUUACCUACGAAGAUCUGCUCAGCCAAGCGAAGAAACGCGAACUACAAAUCAACAACUUGAGGUUGCCCCACUCAGCGUCGUACGCGCUCACGUGCGAACAUGAGUCCGGCCGGCUGACGUGUCCGCUGUGCUCGGAGCGUAACUGGAAGCAGUUGGACAAUGACCUGUGGCGGCUGGAGCAGUGGCUGCAGUUCGCUGAGGCUACUGAUGAUGCCAGGACCGGACCUCCUGAGCAGUAUGAUGCGCUUGAAGAUGUUAUACAGGACCACCGUGAAUUCCUCCUGGACUUAGACUCGCACAAAUCGAUAGUAGUAUCCCUCAACGUGGUGGGGUCCCACGUGGCGGCGCACGCCCGCUCCGGCGCCGCCGCCGAGCGCGUGCGCGCCCGCCUCGCCGCCGACAACGCGCGCUGGGACGCCGCCUGCCGCCGCGCACACGACUGGCAGGCACAGCUCCAACGAGCUUUGCUACACAACCGACAGUUCCACGACAUCGUAGUGGAGUUGGUUGCUCAACUCGCGGCAGCUGAGAAGACUGUGCGAGCUAGAGAACCGCUGCGUCUAGGUCGUGAGCCAGCUGAGCUGCAGCGUGACUUCCGACGGUUUGCUGAGUUGCGUGACGAGCUGAGACGAGCUGAGCCGCGAGUGUUAGCGUUACACGAGGCAGCGGCGUUGCUGGCGCCGGGAGCAGGCCCGCACACGAGGCUCUCGGAGCUGAGACUACGGUUGCAGUCGCUGCGCAAGCUGUGCUCGGUGUACGCGCUGAAGCUGGGAGCUGCUCUCGCGCACCGCCCCGCCGGCAGCAUGCACGGCCUCGCUGCCGCCGCCGCCACGCUCGCACCACAGCUAAUGGAGGAGGACGAGGAAGAACUGUCGGCGUUGCACCUUCCGCCGCUCGACGAGACACAGUAAGUACACUCGCGUAGUAUUUGUAGUCAGUGAUGCACUUUUGACGCUCUGAGACUUUUUAAACUACGUAUUGAGGUGAUAUUCCUAAGAUGAUGAAUGAGUGAUGAGAAUGUAAAAUUAUAAGACGAUGAUGACAGGAGUGACGAAUGUAAAAGUGAAUGAUAGACCAUACCAAAGAUGGAUAGAUGUAUUUUGUGGAUAAUUGGGAAGCGGAUGAUGAAUUAACGGUUGAAAGAAAGGAAUGAGAGAUUAGGGAGGCAUGAAAAGUAUUUGCUAAGACCAAAGAGUUAGACGUCAAAAGUGUGUCAUCGAUAAAAAUUUAGUUUGAACGCCUAACCACCUCUUAUUUUGCGUAACAGUUUUCCAAUGUAGUCUAGUCAAUUUCUGUUAAUUUUGUUUUCUCUCUAAGUAAAAAAGACUCCAAGAUCUCUUUCUUGCGAUUAUUUUCUGUCCUGUUUCAAUGUUAUUUUCUCUUACAAAAAUAUUGAAGCCGUUUUUGCAGUUGACGUUUGAUAUCAGUAGUCAUCAGUUUAAUUAAAUUAGACAAAAUGUCGUCAAAAUUGGGUUGUACCGUUUAAUUAUCACAAUAACGUGAACCAUAACCAGGCGUGAAUUUGCCGCUCAUUGGUCAAAUCGGGGAUUUGACAGCCGUUUAUGGUGUGGUUAUCGUUUAAUAGUUAAAUGGCGCAACCCACAUUACGCAUCAAAUAAUUUAUACUGACAUCAACUGCAAAACCGGCUCCCUCCCACAACAAAACUAAUGAACACCUUACCUGUGCAGACCGGUAGUGGAUGAUGCGUCCCCCGGCGACGAGGAGGGCUCGCUGUUCGGCCUGCA
This is an RNA transcript of Helicoverpa zea (corn earworm), 50455 nucleotides long. It is a transcript of the gene named muscle-specific protein 300 kDa-like, with no coding region annotated. The record is from RefSeq and is a predicted model, not a curated record. The transcript has 50 exons. NCBI's taxonomy places the organism in Eukaryota, Metazoa, Arthropoda, Insecta, Lepidoptera, Noctuidae.